AAAAAAGACUCCGAAUUCAAUUGACUGUGAUAGACCUUCAUAACCGUUUGCCCUAAAUGUUCAAAGUAUGGUUGGUAGAAUGGUAGAAACUUAUGUCUACUCAUAUAUUUCCAGUAGCUAGUCCAAAUAGAUGUUGGUUUAUCAAGGUUCCAUGAAAACAUGAUGCAGACAAUACACUAGGAUCAUUUUAUUUCUUCUAUCUAUCACCGAUUCAUCAUGAGGUAGCACACCAUAAAGACUUGCAAAAAAAAUAUAAACACAAAGACACACAUAUGCGCGAGAUCUAUUAAGCAGUGACGGCGAUCUUCAUGCCUUGCUGGCAGUGACCCGGACGGCUGCAGAUGAAGAACGCUUUGCCUCCGCGGACGAGCUGGAUGUGGUCAUUGCCGGAGGUGUAGGUCCUCGACGGGCCCGAGACCCUGCAUGAGUUGUAGUCGCCUUCUCCCACCUGCACCACGUUGUGCAUACUCGGGUUGUACUUGAACACUGCGUGCAUUAGUUAAAACAAGAAUACAGAUCAGAACACAAUAUAUACAUCGAGAACAACCAAUCACUUGAUCUUUAGAGUUCUCACCAAGCACGUCGCCGGACUGGAUGUGCUUGCCACGCUCCCAUCCGGAGACGCCGAAGCUCCAUCCCUUGUUGUCACCAACGGUCCACUCCUUGGCAUGGACGACGGUGGUUGCGUAGCAAACGGCUAGAAGCAGCACCAAAAGGGUGGGUACCAUGGUUCCCCGUGCCAUCGAUGGUGUUGCUCUUGACUUCUUGUUGCUACCGAAGAUCAGAAGAACCAAAAAUAAUAAUGAAAUAGUGGUCGGUUCCUCAAGUGAUGGCUUGCGUUCAAUCUCCUUCUCAUAUGAUAUAUAUAGGUGAUCAGCUAAAAUCAUUGUUUUAAUGUGCUCAAAUAAUGAGAAUCUUGCCUUAAAUGAGACAAAUCAACAAUUGUGAUAUGCAACAUUAGGUAGUAUAUGCUACCAAAUCCUCCAACUUAUAUAAUCUGAUCUUGGAUUAAUGGAAAUGAACGAGGAUGCAUUUAUUUCCUACUUUCAACAUUUAGUAAAUAUUUCUUUUUCCUGGAUGCUUUAGUUGUAUAUCAGAUAUUUAUAGAUACUAGUAUUAGAUGAUAUAAUUGUAAUAAGAAAAUUUCAAAAUACAAAAUUAUUUUUUAUAAGGAGAAGUCCCUAAUAUUGACUUUUCAACCAUAGCUGCUAAAGCGAUUGGAGGCCAUGAUUUGCGAUUGUUUAGUCUCAAAUAAUUUGAAAUAGACAGGAAUAUUUUUAAAGGGAGUUUAAAUGAAUUUCAGAAGUUGUAAAAUUUAAUGCAUUAUGUUCAUAUAAGAAUUUUAGGCUAGGUUAAUUUGGAACAAUUGAAAAAGAAAAGAGCCCCAAUUGGUUAACGAAGCAGUAAAGCUGGCGAGAUCCAGAAGGAUCAAAUUGAGAGGAAAAUUUGUGAGACUUACCAAGAACUUGUAGCCACUUGGGACGGAGACAAUGACCUCAAAAGACGCCCUCCACGAAAACUCUGCAACUACUCCUGAUCAACGAAAUUAGCCCUAAACUAACCAUCCCGGCACAAACUGGAAUGACCUACUGAUAACUCACAAGUAUAGGGGAUCGUGAUAGUCUUCAAGGAUAGUGUUUUACCCAAAUUUAUUGAUUCGACACAAGGGGAGCCAAAGAAUAUUUAUUAGCCUUAGCAGUUGAGUUGUCAAUUCAACCACACCUGGGAAAUUAUAUUUCUGCAGCAAAGUGUUUAGUAACACAGUAGUUUGAUAUUUUUGAUAGUAGUUGUAAGAGUAGCAAUAGUAACAGUAACCGUAACAAUAGUAGUUUGUGAUGAUUUUAAGAACAUGAGCAAUCACUGGUACAUUGAGGUGCUAUACAAACGGUUUUAACCCCUUUUCGCGACGACGUUUGGAACCGUCACCUAGUGAGUGUGGACGAUUAGGGGGUCCUUCCCACACGACCCAGAAAUCAUCGGGGAUAUGCCCUCCUGGCACACACGCUCGACAAAAUGAGGUCAUGUGCGACCGGCGAGCGAGCAAAUACGGUUAUACGUACAGUAAUGCUAAAAAAUAAUUAUACAGGCGAAAUCAUUUCCGGUCGUAAGUACAUCCCACACAGUCAGUCCCUGCGACACGUUCCGUUCAUAUAUACAUCCCACACAGUCGCUGCAAGGAAAACGUUUCUGUUCGUAGGUACAUCACACACAAUUUUACCCGUUAAAUCGUUUGUGAUAGCGUUUCCAUCGCACAAAAUACUAAAAAAAUUAUCAUUUGCAUUAUUGAAUGCAUCACACACGGUGCGUAGAAGAAACUGUGUGGCAAAGACUGCCCAUCACACACAGUUUUUAUGCGGUAACGUUUGCGCAAGGUGGCCUAACUCAAACAGUUUUGAAGAGAAUGUCGUGUGUGAUUGUUCAUCGAUCCAACACAGGUUAUUCCUAGAAAUUUUGUGCGUUGCCUUAAGUCAUCGGCCACGGUAUUUUCUCAAUAACCAUUUGCAAUAGCAAGAACCAAUUAGCAGGAUAAUUUCCCUAUUAUUAAUAAUCCAUUUAUUAAUCUAAUUGACAUUCAUAUUAAACACAUAAUAUAUUUCAUUCCCAUAUUACGGAAGCAUGAUUGUAUAAUUGAAAUACAUCAGAGUACAACAUGAUAUAGCUUCAGCACUCAGCUACCCCAUUACACAAUUGCACCAGCACCAAGUUUCACAUGACCUUUUGAAAUUAGCAUCUUAGACGAUACAUAGAUAGAUGCAUCUUAUCGGGAAAACUGCUGAAGCGGAAGGCGAAUAUUAAGCCUUCAUUGAUGUUGAAGGUCUUUGCAAAUUUAGGCCAGUGCCUGUGGAUGAUUGACCAUCCAUCCUUCGUCCUCUUCAGGAACACUUCAAUAUUGAACCAUGGGUGUUGUAUGAAAACCUUCCUCGCCUCCUGACCAUAGAGGUGGUUUGAGAGGUAAUCAUUAGUGAACUGCUUUGGAAAGGCCUGAAAACAAGGAUGUGCAUAAAUAUCUUCUCUAUAUUGGAAAUGGGGCAAAGGAAUAAAAAAAGGCAAGAUAUAAUAGUUAGUACCAUCUUGUAGUGAACUGAUGUCUUCUUCAUUGUACAGACAAAGAUCUUGUUGUUUUUUGUCGCCAAUUUCUUUAUCCUAACAAUCUUUCUGAGUUUCUUGACUUGAUUGAUAUUAAUGGACAACUCAUUUCCCCAUAUGCAAAAAGGGUCGAAUAGUGGGUCAAAACCUCUGACAGCAGGACCUACAUGUGCAAAACCAAAUUGUUAAAAACCUAAGUAUUAGAAUGGUUCAUGCAGUUGCACAAUAAUGUGUUAUUAGACAACGGACCAUGCACGUGCUAACCUAUAUUGUAAACCUCAGUGCUUCCCAUUGUUUCCCUGCAACACAUAUAAGAUAGUUAGUCAUCAGGUUAAGUAAGGGUUCGCAUGCUAUCAGUAAAAUAUGUUGAUGAAAAAUAAGCACAUUGCAGAUUCAUCAGAUUAAUUCAAGCCACAUGAAAACCCAUUUAUCCAAACCAAGCAUUAUUAAGAACUAGGAAAUAUAGCACUUGUAUAUGUUUAUUAUGUAUUAAGUGUAGCUAUUUUUGAUUUAUUCCUCACAUGCACAACAAUACAAAAUUCCACUCACGACAAUUGGACAUCACAUUGUAGAAUUGAACCAAGCAGUUAACUAAACACCAAAGCAAAUGAACCCAACAUUAACUGAGCACCACAUUGCACAAUAUAACAUACUCCUAAUAAAAGAUCAGACAGUUAAUAGAACCAAGCAUGCUUAACAACUUGGAAAUAUAGCAAUUGUAUUUGUUUAUCAUGUAUUUAGUACAGCCAAAUUCGAUUUACUUCUCACAUGGUAUACAAUAACAGAAUGCACCCACAACUAUUGAACAUCGCAUUGCAGAAUUGAACCAAACAGUUAACUAAACACCACAACACAAAUGAACCAAACGUUAACUGAGCACCACAUUGCACAAUGUAUAACCAAACCAAGCAUGCUUGACAAAUUGGAAAUAUUGCAAUUGUAUUUGUUUCUCAUGUAUUUAGUACAGCCAAAUUCGAUUUACUUCUCACAUGGUAUAUAAUAACAGAAUGCACCCACAACUAUUGAACAUCGCAUUGCAGAAUUGAACCAAACAGUUAACUAAACGCCACAACACAAAUGAACCAAACGUUAACUGAGCACCACAUUGCACAAUGUAUAACCAAACCAAGCAUGCUUGACAACUUGGAAAUAUAGCAAUUGUCUUCGUUUCUCAUGUAUUUUGUAAACAUAAAUUUGAUUUAUUUCUCACAUGGAAGACAAUACAAAAUUGCAGCCUCAAGAAUUGAACAUCACAUUUAUAGAACUGAACCAAACAGUUACCUGAAGACGACAACUAAUUAAUCAAACAUUUAAUAAGUGAGCACCACACUGCACGACAUAUAGAACAUAUACACAGGAGCAACAGAUUGCAUGGUAAAAUUAGAUAGCACAAUUCACUAAAAUUUGUUAAGGAAAGGCAGGAGCAGCACACGCAACGGGUAAACUAAUCAUGCUUAAUUGGCAUAGCUAGCAAAUGGCAAGGUGCUCCUCCAAGAUCUGGGGGUCGGCACAAAUGGUAGCCAUCACGACCUCAUCCGCUCGUGCGGCCACGAUUUUGCUUCUCCGCUGCCAAAUGCUCCUUGAGCUCCUGGCUAUACUGCAUGCACCAUGGCUUGGGGAGGCGCUUAUUUGGUGGAUGGGUCGGUGAUUUGGGUGGAAGGUAUCACGCUGCUGUCGGGGCAUGUGGGCUGGGGAAGGAGGAGGAGGAUGGGGGUCUGGUGUGGAUUACCUGCCUAGAUAGACGAGGCCGAGCAACAUGAAGGAGGGUCGCCGGCGACGGGGGCGGUGCUGCAAGCAAGGAGUGAAAGUUUCAACUUGGAAAGGAAGGCGAAAACAUGGGAAAUGUGGCUUUUGGUAAGGGGAAGGGGGCGGAGAGGUAGAUAUUUCCGCGGAAGCCGAAAAUUUGGAAUCGCUUCAGCGAAAAACUGGCGCGCAAAGUGUCAUCAGACACGGUCCCCUAUUCAGAACUGUGUAUGAUAUGUCAACAUCACAAACGGUUCAGAUAGCUUAACCCGUGUGCGAUGAGUUCGAACGUCAAAUUUUUUGGUUCCAAUUUCCCUGGUUACAGUGCUCAUCCACGUCAUUGCAUAAUUUGGGUACACAAAGGAGACUACAGCACACCCACACUUCUUAAUCAAGCAAUUGCAGCAAUUAAAUAGAGCUAGCUGGCCUAAACAUUACUCUAACAAAUUAAAGACCGGUGCUCUUAAUUAAACAAAACAAAGAGUACUACUACGGCUGGUGCUCGUCGAUCUCCACCGCCUCCUCCAUGUCCAGAUCGCGCCCGACGAUCUCCUGGGGAAGGAGCUCCAUGUCAUCCAUCGCACCAUAUCCGGCAAGCAUCUCGCCAUCUGCGUCCGCCAUCUCUUUGGAAAAGGCCGCCACGAGCUGGGCAUGGGCGGCCGCGAUCUGGGCUUGAAUGGGCUCCGUCGUUGCAAGGUAUGCGUCAGAGGAACGGACGGCUGCUCGAACGCUCUCGGUGAUUGCCAACUCUUCGGCCGUGGGUUGCCGACCGUUGUCGGAGAAGCUUCAUUCGAUUUGUGCGGUGACCGCCAUGAGCUGGGCGUGGGCGGCCUCGACAUGGUCGUGGGCGGUCUCCAUCAGGGGUAAGGCUGCCACUAUGGAACGGACAGCUGCUGUGCUGCUCUCGCCAACUGCUAUCCCCGAGGCAGAUGUUGCUGCCGCCACCUGAGAAGCAACAACAACCAUUUGGGCUGCCAUGACCGCCCGGUCGCAGAUUGCGGUCGCGCUCAUGCACCUUGUUAGCACGCGCAUGGCGGCUGCGGCCGCACUCUCGCCAGAGUGGGCCGCCGAAGUUGCCCUCACGACACGGGCCCACGUCCCCAUCUUUCACCGGCGACGAUUGAACAAUGAAAUGAUAUUUGGGGAGCGAGCUAGUGUGCUUGAGAUGCCAGCUGUGGACUGUAUCCGUGCAUCUUCUCGCGUAAGCCAUAGGCGUACUAUACACCAUGCUCCAUGAUAUUUUGUACUGCAUCUCACACGGUUGGUGAUAAUAAACUGUGUGGGAUCUACUUGAUUUUUAAUUUUGAUUUGAAUUACAUAAUGGGGUCACAGCGGCAAUGGACGGUGUUUGAAUUGCUAGACCUUUUAUCUGCAGUGAACAUGCAACUAUAUGUGUGUCGUAAAAAAAUUGGAAUUGUUCAGGGUUCCUUUGGACAUUUUUAUACGAUAACUUGGUUUUCUAGGCAUUUCAGGUGCACAAUUCAAAAUUAAACCACAUGAUCCAGUCCAUAAAAACGGGUUGCAAAAUCAAAUGUUUGUCCUUGGUUGCAAGCUUAGGUCACAUGCAAGAAAUGAGAAUGAAUGUCAAACACCUUGACACUGUCGCUCAGCCGCUAACAUUGAGAUACAUGCUUUUAACAUUCUAGUAAAUCGAAAACUCGUCUGAAAUUCCUGAAACUUGACAUGAUAUCAUGGAACGGAAGCGACAUGCUGUGGUAAAAAUAUUGCCCCAUUUGGGGCAGGUGUGGGUAUAAGCUUCUCGCAAACCAGAGCUUCUCUCACAACAAGCCUGAUGGUUUCAGUACGGUACAUGCCACCUUGGGGAACGAAAUGAUAUAUGUUGCCUCUUCUUACUUCAAAAUGUUUCUCGUGUCAACAUAGAACAACACGAGUGUUGUGUCAAUUUUUGGGAUUUUUUGGGGUUUGUUUUGACAUUUUUAUGCAUUAAUUGUGUUUUCAAUGCAUUUAUGAGCAUAAUUCAAAUUUGAACUACAUGCACAUGCACUAAUGCAUAGAAAUUGGUUGAAAAUUCAAAUCUGUGUCCUUGGUUGCAUGCUUAGGUCCCAUGCAAGAAAUGGGAAUGAAUGUCAAACACCCUGCCACCAUCACUCGGCCACAAACAUUGAGAUUCCUGGUUCUUAAAUUCUAGUAAAUCAAAACUCGUCUGAAAUUCAUGAAACUUGGCAUGCUAUCAUGGAGCGGCAUCAACAUGCCGUGGUCAAAAUAUUAUCCCAUUAAUAUUAUCCCAUUUGGGGCAGGUUUGGGGAUAUGCUUAUCACAAACCAAAGGCUCUCACAACAAGCCUGAUGGUUUCGGUAGGGUACGUCCCACCUUUGGGGACGAAACGAUAUCCGCUGCCUCUUAUUUCUUUCAAAAUUUUUCUAGUGUCAACAUAGAACAAUAGGAGUGUUGUGUCAAUUUUUGGGAUUCUCCGAGGUUCGUUUGGACAUUUUUAUGCAUUAAUUGUGUUUUCAAUGCAUUUAUGAGCACAAUUCAAAUUUGAACUACGUGCACAUGCUCUAAUGCAUAUAAAUUGGUUGAAAAUCAAAUUUGUGUCCUUGGUUGCAUACUUAGGUCCCAUGCAAGAAAUGGGAAUGAAUGUCAAACACCUUGCCACCGUCACUCGGCCGCAAACAUUGAGAUUCCUGGUUUUAAAUUCUAGUAAAUCCAAAACUCGUCUGAAAUUCAUGAAACUUGGCAUGCUAUCAUGGAGCGGCAUCAACAUGUCGUGGUAAAAAUAUUGUCCCAUUUGGGUCAGGUUUGGGGAUAUGCUUCUCACAAACCAAAGGUUCUCACAACAAGCCUGAUGGUUUUAGUAGGGAAUGUCCCACCUUUGGGGACGAAACGAUAUCCGCUGCCUCUUAUUGCUUUCAAAAUUUUUCUAGUGUCAACAUAGAACAAUAGGAGCGUUGUGUCAAUUUUUGGGAUUUUUCGGGGUUCGUUAGGACAUUUUUAUGCAUUAAUUGAGUUUUUGAUGCAUUUAUGUGCAUAAUUCAAAUUUGAACUACAUGCACAUUCUCUAAUGCAUAUAAAUUGGUUGAAAUUUCAAAUUUGUGUCCUUGGUUGCAUGCUUAGGUCCCAUGCAAGAAAUGAGAAUGAAUGUCAAACACCCUGCCACCGUCACUCGGCCGCAAACAUUGAGAUUCCUAGUUUCUUAAUUCUAGUAAAUCCAAAACUCGUCUCAAAUUCAUGAAACUUGGCAUGCAAUCAUGGAGCGGCAUCAACAUGCCGUGGUAAUUUUUUUGUCCCAUUUGGGGCAGGUCUGGGUAUAAGCUUCUCACAAACCAGAGCUUCUCACAACGAGCUUGAUGGUUUCGGUAGGGAAUGUCCCACCUUUGGGGACGAAAUGAUAUCAGCUGCCUCUUAUUGAUUUCAAAUUUUUUCUAGUGUCAACAUAGAACACCAGGAGUGUUGUGUCAAUUUUUGGGAUUUUUCGGGGUUCGUUUGGACAUUUUUAUGCAUUCAUUGAGUUUUCGAUGCAUUUAUGUGCAUAAUUCAAAUUUGAGCACAUGCUCUAAUGCAUAUAAAUUGGUUGAAAAUUCAAAUAUGUGUCCUUGAUUGCAUGCUUAGGUCUUAUGCAAGAAAUGGGAAUGAAUGUCAAACACCCUGCCACCGUCACUCGGCCGCAAACAUUGAGAUUCCUGGUCUUUAAAUUCUAGUAAAUCCAAAACUUGUCUGAAAUUCAUGAAACAUGGCAUGCUAUCAUGGAGCGGCAUCGACAUGCCGUGGUAAAUUUUUUGUCCCAUUUGGAGCAGGUUUGGGUGUAAGCUUCUCACAAACCAGAGUUUCUCACAACAAGCCUAAUGGUUUUGGUAGGGAACAUCCCACCUUCGGGGACGAAAUGAUAUCCGCUGCCUCUUAUUGCUUUCAAAAUUUUUAUAGUGUCAACAUAGAACAACAGGAGUGUUGUGUUAAAUUUUUGCAAUUUUUUGGGGUUCGUUUGGACAUUUUUAUACAUUAACUGGGUUUUGUAGGCAUUUUAUGUGCAUAAUUCAAGUUUGAACUAUGUCGGGGGGAUGGACCCCGGGCAGGCAAGGAAACUCGGAUCCUCUUCAAAAACAGCGGGGCUGGCACCGCCCCUCAAAGCCGCCACGCGUUUGGCCGGGUCGCUCGACCCGGCCAAGCCCCGCAUGCCGACCAGACUCACCGACCCGACAAGACACGUCGACUCGGCCCCAACGAUGUCACGACCGGGUUUUCCGGGUAAUAAAUUUCCAGAAAAGACCGUCGUGCUCAUCAGCCCCAGGAUUACUGUUAGCUGAUGAGGCUCCAACUUGAUACAGAAACUCCAAGCAAAAAUACAAAAUAUGUAGUACAAGACCAUUUUGGCCUGUGGGUACAACAAAUGGUUUCUAGUGGUGGAUGGCGGAAGCGGGUUGUGAAGCAUCAGUGUCCAUGGGACUCCAUUUCCCACGGGAACAGCUGACCAGGUUAAUUCCUAUCUUCGCGAGGCUGCUAUCUCCAAGUGUGGGUUCCGAGGCUGGCAUCGCGUCGCUCCUCUCCGCGCAAGAAAAAUCUGGCCAAGACAAUAGCCAGGGACAAGCCAGUGAGUACUUUGAAUGUACUCGCAAACAUUAAGAACGCAGGUAUAAUAUAACGAUGAUGUGUUGAAAAAUAUUUUAUGCUCAUGACGUCAGUCACAAAAGAUAAAUAACUCUCGGAUGCGUGCAAGCAAGUUAUUUAUAAAAUUGCAAUAACAUGGUAGUAUAAAAACUUAUGAAACAAAUAACAAGUAAUGCCACAGUCGGGCGUCUUAGCGACACCACACAAAGGGCUUUAAAAGAAAUGCCUCAGUCGGGCGUCUAAGCGACACCACAUAAAGGGCUUUAAAAGAAAUGCCACAGUCGGGCGUCUGAGCGACGCCACAUAAAGGGCUUUAAAAGAAAUGCCACAGUCGGGCGUCUGAGCGACACCACAUAAAGGGCUUUAAAAGAAAUGCCACAGUUGGGCGUCUGAGCGACGCCACAUAAAGGGCUUUAAAAGAAAUGCCACAGUCGAGCGUCUGAGCGACGCCACAUAAAGAGCUUUAAAAGAAAUGCCACAGUCGGGCGUCUGAGCGACGCCACAUAAAGGGCUUUAAAAGAAACAAUCAUAGCGAAUAUCCCGGAGGUAGAACCAUCCCAGAGAUAUUCGGUAAUAACAAUAAUAUCACGGGUUAGUCAACAAUAAUAAUAAUCAUAGUUAUCACAAGUCACAAGUGGUAAUUCCAUUUCUGGAUUAACAGUUUCACCUCCGCAGACCGACACUAAGACCGACACUUGACCCAUCCCAGACUGUACUCCUUAACCAUGGACACGGUUAUUCGAAUAGGUUUAUUCUCUGCAGAGGGUGUACUCUUUACCCACGAGUAACGGAUUUCUUUAGUCCAGCAGGACUAAUUCCGUCUACGGUCUUUUUGUUGAAAACACACCAAACUUGCACACACCAGCUUAUCACACAUGUGUCUGGAAUCACCCACGGCACCUGUUAAGCAAACUCUAAGUGGGGAGGCUACAACCUCGCGUAGCAUGGGAUCAAAUUUAUAUCGCGCGCUCUAAGGGGUGGCCUCCCCUCUCGGUCCCAACCGGAAACACCCAUGCCCACGGACCAGGUGGCCUGCCUACCAGUUACAACCAGUAUCUUCCACCAUGGCCUCUCUGUACGGUGUGUGCUAGAAAGAGGUUGACAACUUACUGAACCGUACUCUACUUGCUGUAGAGACGAGUGGUAGUACGAAACAAGUAUGGGGGUUACUGGAACAAGACUCGAUCUACGGUCGACUCAGGAGGUUCAAGUAUUCCCUGCAUGAUUAGUAUAACAAAUAUAUUUCAUCAAACAGAGUCACCAUACCAGACCAAACCGUCCCGACGGAGACCGGCGACAAACUCAUACCUACCAAAGGCAGAGGUUUUCCCGGUUUCCUGCCGGUAUGCAUGUAAAGCUCAUGAGGGUGAUUAUCAUUACAAGUGUGUCCAUUACCAACAGCAUGGAAAUCAAUAACAUGCACCCAUGCAUAUGAUCAUAUCACAUGAAAUAACAAGUCCUUCGAAAUGCAGUGGUGUUAUAAAUGCAUCAACGAUCACUCCAAAAUUAUUAUGCCGGGGUUCAGAAUGCUUGCCUUCAAUGUGUGGAAAGGCAGGGUGCUCUCCAAACUUUUGAAAGUUUCUUCUCUCUCCCAAAAAUCCUAUUUGAAAAUAUAUUUGAAUCAACACACAUUUCAAAAACAGAACCAAAAAGUUGUUUGAAUUUUUUUCAAAUAAAUCUUAAAAUAAACUAGAUCAAAUAUGAGGAAGGUAGGAAAAAGAAUCAACUCAUUUGGAGUUAUAUUUAAAAAGUUAUAGCCAGUCAAAAAUUUGGUCAAAAUCUGUUUUUAAAUAAAACAGAAAAAGAAAACGUUUCGGAGGGGAAUACGCUUUCGGAGCGGGGAAAGCGUACUAGGGAUAAUACGCCUUCACUUAAUCUCACGUGGACAGCGCGGGGUGUCGCUGACAGUGGGCCUGCCUGGCCCACUGGUCAGGUUUGACCAGUCCGCCCUCCUCCUUCUCCCUCUGUCCCGAGCGGAGGCGGGACUCCGGCGACCAACGCCGGCGAGCGGCGGCUCCUCGCGGCCUCUCGAGGGCGGGGAUGGAUCCGCGGAUCGAGGGCGAUCCUGCUGGUAGUCGCUGGGUUGGCGGGGACGGCGUAAGCUGUCGGCGGCGAGCUCCUCGGCGGAGGAAAGUUUCGGUGAAAAGUGGUUUUGUGGCGGCGAUGGCUCCCGAACCAAACUGAAUAGGGGGAUCUGUUCACGGGAGGGAGAGGAAGCUCCUGGUGUAGAGUUUAGGGAGGGGGAGGCCCUGGUGGCGCCGGAGUGAACGAGGCAGUGGCGGCGGCAGUGGUUGCCGGAGAUGAUGAAGGGGACCUCCCCGGGUCGAAUGCGAGGCAGGGGAGCGCCAUGGGGGUAGCAUGAGGUCGCGUGCGUGCUCAGAGGGGCUCGGGGUGUCCAUUUAUAGCACGCCAAGGUCGGUUCCGCGGCGGUGGGGAUAAGCUCUCCGGCGAACCGUUUCUCUGUAGCUAGGGCGACGUGGCGGCGACGAACGCUAGCGGACACCCGUGUGGAUGAGCUCGGGCUGUUCCGGGGCCAGGUGGCGAGCGGGCGAGGCUUGGGCGGCGCUGCCCGUGGCAGAGGCACACUGCCGACGCCGGAGUGCCGCCAAGAACGCCCUGGCGGCAGCGCUGUAGUGUGCCAGGGUGGUUUGGCGCGAUGCUGCGAGGCGGGGAGUGCGUGGCGAGGUGCUGCCGUGUGGGCCAAAGCCAGGGGGCCAGCGUGUCGGCUCGGGCGCGGCAUCGUGCAAUAUGCGCGCUCUGGGCGCGUCCAGUGCACGCACUGGGUGUGCUCGACGAAAUGCCAGAGCAUGCUACAGAGCUUGGUUGAGACUGGCAAUUAACAGACUUAGGUUAGGAGAAACGGGGAGUCUAGUGGACAUGCUGGUUUGAUCAGAGGUGCAAGUUCACAGUGCAAUGCCAAACUCAUGUCAAAACUGGUCAUGCUCUCCAGGUGUUUGACAAAAUGCCACAUGCACUUAGGCAGGUCUUGGGGUGGCCAGAAACCCUAGAUGGGGGUCUCUGUGGAUGAAAGAGAGGGUGGUGUGGUUAUUUGGACAAAAGGGGAGACUUGCUAGUGCAAGUUUUGAAAAACUACAUUUCUGGACAGGAGAUAUAUGACAUUAUUCCAUGAACCAAAAAUGAUCCAAAAGGUGCAUGCUCCUGGACUUAAGGGUUUAACAUGGAGGACUACAAGUAGGAGAAAUAAUCAAGGGCUAAAGAGCAAGCAAAAACAUGGUUGCUGUACAAACCAACAAGUUGGUCCAGAAUGAAGAUGAAGUUGAUUCACUCAAAUUUUUCAAAGAACAUAAUUAGGUUUUUGCACAAAGAGGAAUAAUAGGCUCCUACUGACGUCCCUUAAUUUUGGUAGAAGUUUUAAAGAAAAAUUUAAAUAGGUUGCUGUGUAAAAUGCACUCUGGACCAGAGAAGAAAAAUUGAGUGUAGGGCUCAGAAUAUUUCAUGAAUGAAAUAUAUUUUUGCAUAAAAGUGAUUUAAAAACAUCACAUGACAUCUCCAAAUUUUUAUGGGAAUUUUAAGUGAAUUUAUCAAAUGGUUGUAGUUCAAUUAAGGCCAUUUAACCUAGAAAAACCAUUUUCAAGAAAGUAAAGAUCAAGCAGCUUAAUUAUUUUAUUAGUUACACUGAUAAAAGGAAAGUUUUUCUUGAGAGGUUAAAACAAGUCCAACAACAUUUUUGAAAAGUUUUCUCUUUGGGAAAAACUCAUCAUAACAGGGAAGGAAAUGAUUUAAACAAAAAUCAAAAUGGAGCUCAAAAAUCCAAGUUUUAAAUCCUGGCAAAAAAAUUUAUUCCCUUAAAACAAGGCCAAAAUUUUGGGGUGUCACAAUACUAACCCCCUUAAGAAAAAUCUCGUCCUCGAGAUUUGUCAAAAGCGGUGUUAAGAAAAUAAUUACGCAAUAACGAUGUGGUCACAGUGAGAGGGUAAAAAGUGGUGAAAAACCACAGUGUGAAAAACUGGGGCUGCGCGGAAAAGUCUACGGUUCGGGACAAAACGGUUGAUUUCUAUGCUGGAUAUAAAUUUAGGAUAACUCCUAAAUUUAGAUAUACGCUGGUCGUACCCGAGAGUACAGUGCUCUCUCUGGCCGACAGGUGGACCCGGGGUCCACCGUCAGUCUCCUCUUCUUCUCCCUCUGGCCCUUUCUUCCUCCUCUCUCCCACGCGCUUCCUCCAUCGGCGACGCCUAGUGUGUAGGGCAUCUAGGCCGUACCGUGGUAGUGCGUGGCGUGCUAGCUACCGGUGCAGCAUGCACUCACCUCGCGGGCCAGCGUGCUGUCGGCACUGCUUGCGGAUUCGACUCCGAACACCGGCGAUCGGCGACGAGCGGCGUUGGUGGACUUCGCCCACCGUACACCGAGAUCGAGCUAUAAAAACGGCCGGGGUGCCUCUCUCUUCUUCCUCACCUCUGGCCUCACUUCUCCUCCUUCUUCUUUCUCCGUUACUGCUUACAGAAACUCGAGUGAGGCUCUAAUGGCGGAGACGAUGCCGGACUGGUUUGUGAUCCUGAUAUGCGGAGGGCUGGCGACGCUGCUGGGGCUCUCUGUGCUCCUGUGCGCGAUGAUCUUCGACGAGUAUCGUGAUGCUGCGGCUCGGGUGUUGGCUCUCCGCGGUGGUGGUGAUCAUGAGGAGUAGAAGGAGUGUGCCGGGUGCUAACUGUCGUAAGGGGUGAUUAGUUGGAUGUAAUGCCGUUGCAAAGUUUUGCAAACAGUGUAUGUGUCCGAAUGAUUAUGGUUGUGAGUCUGCUCAUGGUGCUGAGUGAAAUUAAAUAAUCCACGUCGUGAGAAAGUGUAGAUGUAGCAACUCAGGGAAAAGAAAAUCUCACUCCAGGGUUUCGCGAGGGAAAAACAGUUAAUUUAAAGGAGCAUAAACCACAACAAAAGCUACACCCAUUAGUAGAAGCCAAAUAAUUUGACUCGUCGAACAAACUCAGGGUAUCACGCAUAAGUCACACACAUAAAUAUAUGCUGCAUAGAACAAAUACAGCAGUGACGUCUAAAAUGAAAAUGGUAACUGGGAGGGGUCCUGAUAAAAUGUCUCUGGCAAAGGGAUACACUCUUCUUCAAUCGGAGGCAGUGGAUUGACCAGUCGAUGUAUGCGUCUCUCCGUGUCGGGUCUCAGUGGUCUGCCGAUGGCAACCUGAGGAUUUAAAUCUGCGAGGCUCUGGAGAUAAUCCAUCACCCGCUGGUUUAAAUGCUCUUGAGCAAUGAUGUACUGGAUAAGAUUGGCCAGAACUGGGUCUCUCUCAAUACGCCCACCGGGAAAAGACGUUACUUCUCCGGGUGCUGCACGGCUCUGAAAGUAAUAAUAUCCUCGUUCGCGGGCAUAGGGUACUGCGGAUCGAAGACGAGCAAUCGCUUCUUUCGCAGCAGCUUCUAUGGCCAAGUGUGGGGUUGGCAUAGAUUUCCCCACGAAGGAAACUUCUAUUGGAUCUUGGUUGGGGUCUACAGGAGGAAUGUGUACCGCUGCCCAAUAUUCCGAGGUGGAUGGGGUGAUCCUUGAUUUGAACAGCUCGUACUGGGGUGGCUGGGUAGAACCCAUGGUACUGCGGGUAAAAUCCCACAAUAAUUUGACAAAGCUACCUGGGGUUGCAUCAGGGGUUCUCAGAUGAAUGCUGGGGUUCGGCAUGACAGGAAGAAGCAUGAGUGUUGUGCGCAAAGUGAGGGUUGCUGGGUAAGGUCACAAGGUGGCCUUUAUAUAGCAAUGGAGCCGGAUCGUUUUACCGUGGUGAAAGGUAAUAAAUUUGCCAGCUUGGCUCCAAAGGUCAGGUUCAGUGUCAGAGAUACACAUAUCUCAUAAAGAGAUGUGUUACUGUGGUUGUCGUCGGGCUGGUUUUGGUAGUUGUGCCCGGAAAAAUAUGCAGCUAUGCGCUGACCAAACAUGCAAGGCUAUUAUUAAAACAGAGGCACAAGGACAGGCUGCGUUAAUAUACGCGGUCGCAUGACCACAAAGCGAGGAUACAUUGAAACUUGGUACUACUCAUACGGCUCAGUCUACCUCGUUUAUGUCUAAACGGGCGUGCCUGGUGGAUGUCGAGGCUUCUCCACGUGUCUCUCUGCCGGGAUUAGUCGGAAAUGGCGGAGGAACUGCAGAUUCGGGGUAGUGAUGAUGACCAUCGCGGGGAUUGUUGGCCACAACCCCGUUGGAGUGUGCUCCCAAAAUGCGACGAAGCACUUCUGGGGUUAUCGCAGCACCUUGGCCGAUGGCUGGGGCAGAUCUCGGGGUCUCGAUCGGUUGUCCAAACAACACGACUGGGCUGUCGGUGUUGGGCUCGUUUUCUUCUCUCGCCGGGGCUCGACGAACCAGCUCUCCACGAGCUGCUAUUAGAUCAAUAGUGAUCUGGUCGAACAGUGCCUCUAGUGCACUUACAUAGCGCACUAGGUGCAACAAUGCGGGGUCCGUCUCGUGGUCUCCAUUGGUGACUUGGGGUGGUCUACCAUACCCUUCUCGUCUGGGGUAGUAGUGGAACGAGCGACAGUUAACUCUGGGCGACAAGUGCCUGAGAUGAACUAUAGCCUCUCGAGCGGCUAGCUGGAUAGCUUGUGGCUCAAAGGAAGUUGUUCUUCCGGUGAACCGGUAGGGGCGCUCGGGUGCUAGACUCCUACCGUAAAUGUGCACAGUGGCCCAGAAUUGGCGGUCUUCACCGCUCAUGGGUCCUUGAUACACAACAUAUUCUGGUGGCUCCUCUAACGCGUAGGCACGACGGGUGAGGUUUGCGAGGAUGGUCACAAAACCUCCAAGGUUGGUUGCUGUGGUUUCGUUGUACACUAUAGGUCCAGGCAUUGUGGCUCGGUUUGGGGUAGCGACUAUGUGUGCUGGUUUGGGGCUAGCGCGCCCCUUUUUAUAGGGAAAAGGGGACGGAAUCUUCCUUCGCACGCUUGCGAGAAAAGACUAUUUAGGGGCCGGUCACUGGCGCAUGAGUGACAGGUUAGGUUGAUAGGUUGGGCACCGACUGCCAAAAGUGUUGGGUCACUGUGUGGCUAUCUUGCACGAGAAGCUUGGCUGGGGUUUGGUUAAGGUCUGGUGGGUUGGUUUGCCUAGUUUAUUGACCUGGCUAAGAUAGGAUUAGCCAAUGGUCAGCCUGGCUCUGGUACCAAGCCUGUCACGACCGGGUUUUCCGGGUAAUAAAUUUCCAGAAAAGACCGUCGUGCUCAUCAGCCCCAGGAUUACUGUUAGCUGAUGAGGCUCCAACUUGAUACAGAAACUCCAAGCAAAAAUACAAAAUAUGUAGUACAAGACCAUUUUGGCCUGUGGGUACAACAAAUGGUUUCUAGUGGUGGAUGGCGGAAGCGGGUUGUGAAGCAUCAGUGUCUAUGGGACUCCAUUUCCCACGGGAACAGCUGACCAGGUUAAUUCCUAUCUUCGCGAGGCUGCUAUCUCCAAGUGUGGGUUCCGGGGCUGGCAUCGUGUCGCUCCUCUCCGCGCAAGAAAAAUCUGGCCAAGACAAUAGCCAGGGACAAGCCAGUGAGUACUUUGAAUGUACUCGCAAACAUUAAGAACGCAGGUAUAAUAUAACGAUGAUGUGUUGAAAAAUAUUUUAUGCUCAUGACGUCAGUCACAAAAGAUAAAUAACUCUCGGAUGCGUGCAAGCAAGUUAUUUAUAAAAUUGCAAUAACAUGGUAGUAUAAAAACUUAUGAAACAAAUAACAAGUAAUGCCACAGUCAGGCGUCUUAGCGACACCACACAAAGGGCUUUAAAAGAAAUGCCUCAGUCGGGCGUCUAAGCGACACCACAUAAAGGGCUUUAAAAGAAAUGCCACAGUCGGGCGUCUGAGCGACGCCACAUAAAGGGCUUUAAAAGAAAUGCCACAGUCGGGCGUCUGAGCGACACCACAUAAAGGGCUUUAAAAGAAAUGCCACAGUUGGGCGUCUGAGCGACGCCACAUAAAGGGCUUUAAAAGAAAUGCCACAGUCGAGCGUCUGAGCGACGCCACAUAAAGGGCUUUAAAAGAAAUGCCACAGUCGGGCGUCUGAGCAACGCCACAUAAAGGGCUUUAAAAGAAACAAUCAUAGCAAAUAUCCCGGAGGUAGAACCAUCCCAGAGAUAUUCGGUAAUAACAAUAAUAUCACGGGUUAGUCAACAAUAAUAAUAAUCAUAGUUAUCACAAGUCACAAGUGGUAAUUCCAUUUCUGGAUUAACAGUUUCACCUCUGCAGACCGACACUAAGACCGACACUUGACCCAUCCCAGACUGUACUCCUUAACCAUGGACACGGCUAUUCGAAUAGGUUUAUUCUCUGCAGAGGGUGUACUCUUUACCCACGAGUAACGGAUUUCUUUAGUCCAGCAGGACUAAUUCCGUCUACGGUCUUUUUGUUGAAAACACACCAAACUUGCACACACCAGCUUAUCACACAUGUGUCUGGAAUCACCCACGGCACCUGUUAAGCAAACUCUAAGUGGGGAGGCUACAACCUCGCGUAGCAUGGGAUCAAAUUUAUAUCGCACGCUCUAAGGGGUGGCCUCCCCUCUCGGUCCCAACCGGAAACACCCAUGCCCACGGACCAGGUGGCCUGCCUACCAGUUACAACCAGUAUCUUCUACCAUGGCCUCUCUGUACGGUGUGUGCUAGAAAGAGGUUGACAACUUACUGAACCGUACUCUACUUGCUGUAGAGACGAGUGGUAGUACGAAACAAGUAUGGGGGUUACUGGAACAAGACUCGAUCUACGGUCGACUCAGGAGGUUCAAGUAUUCCCUGCAUGAUUAGUAUAACAAAUAUAUUUCAUCAAACAGAGUCACCACUCAUAUCACCUUACCAUGCCAUACCAGACCGAACCGUCCCGACGGAGACUGGCGACAAACUCAUACCUACCAAAGGCAGAGGUUUUCCCGGUUUCCUGCCGGUAUGCAUGUAAAGCUCAUGAGGGUGAUUAUCAUUACAAGUGUGUCCAUUACCAACAGCAUGGAAAUCAAUAACAUGCACCCAUGCAUAUGAUCAUAUCACAUGAAAUAACAAGUCCUUCGAAAUGUGGUGGUGUUAUAAAUGCAUCAACGAUCACUCCAAAAUUAUUAUGCCGGGGUUCAGAAUGCUUGCCUUCAAUGUGUGGAAAGGCAGGGUGCUCUCCAAACUUUUGAAAGUUUCUUCUCUCUCCCAAAAAUCCUAUUUGAAAAUAUAUUUGAAUUAACACACAUUUCAAAAACAGAACCAAAAAGUUGUUUGAAUUUUUUUAAAAUAAAUCUUAAAAUAAACUAGAUCAAAUAUGAGGAAGGUAGGAAAAAGAAUCAACUCAUUUGGAGUUAUAUUUAAAAAGUUAUAGCCAGUCAAAAAUUUGGUCAAAAUCUGUUUUUAAAUAAAACAGAAAAAGAAAACGUUUCGGAGGGGAAUACGCUUUCGGAGCGGGGAAAGCGUACUAGGGAUAAUACGCCUUCACUUAAUCUCACGUGGACAGCGCGGGGUGUCGCUGACAGUGGGCCUGCCUGGCCCACUGGUCAGGUUUGACCAGUCCGCCCUCCUCCUUCUCCCUCUGUCCCGAGCGGAGGCGGGACUCCGGCGACCAACGCCGGCGAGCGGCGGCUCCUCGCGGCCUCUGGAGGGCGGGGAUGGAUCCGUGGAUCGAGGGCAAUCCUGCUGGUAGUCGCUGGGUCGGCGGGGACGGCGUAAGCUGUCGGCGGCGAGCUCCUCGGCGGAGGAAAGUUUCGGUGAAAAGUGGUUUUGUGGCGGCGAUGGCUCCCGAACCAAAUUGAAUAGGGGGAUCUGUUCACGGGAGGGAGAGGAAGCUCCUGGUGUAGAGUUUAGGGAGGGGGAGGCCCUGGUGGCGCCGGAGUGAACGAGGCAGUGGCGGCGGCAGUGGUUGCCGGAGAUGAUGAAGGGGACCUCCCCGGGUCGAAUGCGAGGCAGGGGAGCGCCAUGGGGGUAGCAUGAGGUCGCGUGCGUGCUCAGAGGGGCUCGGGGUGUCCAUUUAUAGCACGCCAAGGUCGGUUCCACGGCGGUGGGGAUAAGCUCUCCGGCGAACCGUUUCUCUGUAGCUAGGGCGACGUGGCGGCGACGAACGCUAGCGGACACCCGUGUGGAUGAGCUCGGGCUGUUCCGGGGCCAGGUGGCGAGCGAGCGAGGCUUGGGCGGCGCUGCCCGUGGCAGAGGCGCACUGCCGACGCCGGAGUGCUGCCAAGAACGCCCUGGCGGCGGCGCUGUAGUGUGCCAGGGUGGUUUGGCGCGAUGCUGCGAGGCGGGGAGUGCGUGGCGAGGUGCUGCCGUGUGGGCCAAAGCCAGGGGGCCAGCGUGUCGGCUCGGGCGCGGCAUCGUGCAAUAUGCGCGCUCUGGGCGCGUCCAGUGCACGCACUGGGUGUGCUCGACGAAAUGCCAGAGCAUGCUACAGAGCUUGGUUGAGACUGGCAAUUAACAGACUUAGGUUAGGAGAAACGGGGAGUCUAGUGGACAUGCUGGUUUGAUCAGAGGUGCAAGUUCACAGUGCAAUGCCAAACUCAUGUCAAAACUGGUCAUGCUCUCCAGGUGUUUGACAAAAUGCCACAUGCACUUAGGCAGGUCUUGGGGUGGCCAAAAACUCCAGAUGGGGGUCUCUGUGGAUGAAAGAGAGGGUGGUGUGGUUAUUUGGACAAAAGGGGAGACUUGCUAGUGCAAGUUUUGAAAAACUACAUUUCUGGACAGGAGAUAUAUGACAUUAUUCCAUGAACCAAAAAUGAUCCAAAAGGUGCAUGCUCCUGGACUUAAGGGUUUAACAUGGAGGACUACAAGUAGGAGAAAUAAUCAAGGGCUAAAGAGCAAGCAAAAACAUGGUUGCUGUACAAACCAACAAGUUGGUCCAGAAUGAAGAUGAAGUUGAUUCACUCAAAUUUUUCAAAGAACAUAAUUAGGUUUUUGCACAAAGAGGAAUAAUAGGCUCCUACUGACGUCCCUUAAUUUUGGUAGAAGUUUUAAAGAAAAAUUUAAAUAGGUUGCUGUGUAAAAUGCACUCUGGACCAGAGAAGAAAAAUUGAGUGUAGGGCUCAGAAUAUUUCAUGAAUGAAAUAUAUUUUUGCAUAAAAGUGAUUUAAAAACAUCACAUGACAUCUCCAAAUUUUUAUGGGAAUUUUAAGUGAAUUUAUCAAAUGGUUGUAGUUCAAUUAAGGCCAUUUAACCUAGAAAAACCAUUUUCAAGAAAGUAAAGAUCAAGCAGCUUAAUUAUUUUAUUAGUUACACUGAUAAAAGGAAAGUUUUUCUUGAGAGGUUAAAACAAGUCCAACAACAUUUUUGAAAAGUUUUCUCUUUGGGAAAAACUCAUCAUAACAGGGAAGGAAAUGAUUUAAACAAAAAUCAAAAUGGAGCUCAAAAAUCCAAGUUUUAAAUCCUGGCAAAAAUUUUUAUUCCCUUAAAACAAGGCCAAAAUUUUGGGGUGUCACAAACGACUAGCGCAAGACAGCCGAACUCGGCACGACCAAAGCUUCCUCGACAAGCUAGCGCCACCCGUGGCGUGCUGCGCAACCUAGCCGCGGGUCAGCUCCUGUCCCAUCCAGGCCGUAUGAUGGGGACGAGUCUUCAAUCAAUAAUGACCGAGGCAACAGUGCUUCCACCCAUGCCUACGGUCAGCCGGAGCAUGGCAACAGUGCCCCUCACCUACCCGCUGACCAGGGCCAGCGUGGAAACAGUGCCCCCGCCCUCACCGCUGACGAUAGCAAGCAGCAACCUGACGGAGAGCAUUGUGUGCGACUCAACUCAGCCACGCGCUGACGAUCGACAAGAUGGCACACGGUCCCCCUAGGCACGCGGGGCCCGCACCUAGGGGAACCCGGCGAACCACAAGCCCUCAGCGGGACCCAGCCCGGGUCCUCAGACACCGACAAUACGGACCCACCGACUUGUAACAUUACCAUUGUACCCCCGGGGGGUUGGUCUAUAAAACCCCCCAGGAGCCCACGAUCAAGAUGGGGAAAGCAGGCAAGAAACAGAUACGAGAGAAAAGCAAGUAAGCAUAGGACUAGCCACCAAACGGCAACACCGGAGAGAAGGAGCAGCCCAAGCCUUGGCCAGCUUCCUUCCUCCUCCAUACAGCUCCAGGAGCAACAUUGUACUAUCAAUCAUCCAACUACACUCGGCAGGACUAGGGGUAUUAUCUCUCCGGAGAGCCCCGAACCUGGGUAUGUCCGGCAUCCCGCGCCCGCUCAUGCCAACCUCGCCUCUUGAGUCCACCAACUCCCUCGAGCCUCCUCCUCUCUUUAGCCAUCCCUUGGCAUCUGCCGUGCGCCCACCACGACAAACUACAUGCACAUGCUCCAGUGCAUAUAAAUUGGUUGAAAAAUCAAAUCUUUGUCCUUGGGUGCAUGCUUAGGUCCCAUGCAAGAAAUGGGAAUGAAUUUCAAACACCAGGUCACUAUUGAUUGCCGGCAAAACAUUGAGAUACUUUGUUUUUAAAUUCUAGCAAAUCCAAAACUCGUCUGAAAUUCAUGAAACUUGGCAUGCUAUCAUGGAAUGGCACCCGACAUGCUGUGGUAUUUUUCGUUUCCAUUUUGAGUGGAGAAGCACUCAAAUAACAACCAACAAAGGCAUUUUCAAACAAAUAGCUUCCACUCUAACCUCGCAAACAUUUGUAUAAUUCAAAUUGUGUGUGUUAUGUUAACCAUUCACGUGACGCCACGUGUCUUCGUUCUAAUGGCUAUAGGAGGUGCCGUGCGGACAGCUGCUUGACUAAACGGGUGGCGUGCAAGCGCAGUCCGGUGCGCAGGCUGGCAGAGAGGCGUGCAAGCUGUCCUCCAAUGCGCAGGCUCACCGGGAAGUGUGCAAGCUGUACGCUGUGUGGGCUCACUGGGAAUCGAGCCCUUUGACUUCCAUGGCCGCCCGCCUUCCUCUCCAUUAAUGGCGCCCGAGCCGCUGCUUAAUACGGGCGGCCUUGCUGUUCGCCUCCCAUUCCCCUCCACCCCGCAGACCUCCACCAACACCAUGGCGCAGAAGGAUCAUCUGCCACUAGUCUUCAAGUUUGGUGAAGUCGACUCCGAGCCCGAGGAGAUAGAAAAGAAGGAGGAAUGGGGGCUCAUGGACAUGGCCCAGAACGAGCUGGCCGCGGCUGUUGCUGCCCCCGCUCCCGUCCCAGCUCCCAUCCCCGCGCCCGCGCCAGUGACCAUCCCCAUAGCAUUGUCGGGCUGGUCACCGAGCACUAUCGCAUAGCUCGAAGCCGCGGGCGUCACUGAGGUCUCAGCGGAUCCGCGCGAGCUCGUGUACAUGCCAGCGCUAGUGCCAGCGCCCGUGCCCGUGCCCGUGCGCGCCCCUCCACCCACCAUGACGCCGGUCCCCGUGCAUUUGGCUGCACCCGCCGCGCCUGUGCCCAUGCGCGCACCCCCCUCAGCGGCAUGGGACGCCGCCGUCAACCGCUAGCUCUCAGCGCCGCCAGCUGCUGUCCUCCCGUGCCCGCCCGUCGAUCGUGCGAUGACAUGAUGUUUGAUUUACAAGUGAAGAACAUUCUGAGCUGCCUUGAAGACUUCAACAACGACGUCCCGGAGGAUGACAACGAUAAGGACGGCACGACACGCCGCCUCCGCCACCGCCGGAAAUAGUUUUUUCUUGGUUUCAAUAUUGUAUCUCGAUCGCAAACAUUUUAGUUAGAACACCCGUAUGCAAACCGAAACCUUCCCCAGGAAGCCAAGGGAAAAUGUGCCGAGCAGGAUUUGUGCAGCUCUUGAUCGCAAACGUUUUAGAUAGAACACCCGUAUGCAAAGCGAGAGCAGGAUUUGCGCAUCUCUUCAACGCAAACAGUUGUUUUGGAUGACCCGUGUGCAACCACUUACAAACAAUUUGGGAAGAUUUGCAUCUGUCAUAUUGGGUAUGUUGCCAUUUGUCAAACUUGAAAGAUUGACAUUUGUUGAUCUAGUAACAUUGCCAUUUGUCAACCUUGUAACACUGCGAUUUGUCAAAAUAUGCAGCUAAAAAUCACUAGCACUAUCUAAUUUUUGCAACUAAAAUUCAGUAAUUAAGCAUAGAUUUCAUUCAUAGAUUAAGCAUUCGUGCUUAAUUUAUACAAACAGUUCAACUCGACAGCUGAAACGACCAAACUUUUCCCCAAUUGUUGCCAACCAUGUACUGAAAUAGCUAGUUCUACUUUAUAUACUAGCUAAUUUUAAGUACGUUGUAUAGUUCCACCACAUCUAUAGUCAGAUGAACUGAACUAGCCCCUAAAUACUACUACUACGGAGGGGUUUGUACUACUUCCGACAGCCUCUCCUCUGCCGAGCACGCUCAAUAAGAGGCAGAGGAGGAGGAGCCUACCGACGAGCUGGAUAAAUGCAAUAUGGUGCCUGCCGCUGCUGCACGUUCGGCAAUGCUCGCCAACUCGAACGCCCACUGCCGCUCCAGACGAUCCCUCUUGAAGCGGUGGUUCUCCUUGUAGAUCUCCUGAUUCCUCGCCUCUGAGGUGGCGUGUGCCGCGGCCACGGCAGCGGUAAGGCUCUUUGCAUGAUCGACGAGGCUCUCCUCCUCCUCCCGUAGGAACUCGAUGUAGCGCAUAAGGUCGCUGAAGUAUGUGCCGGCAUACACCUCCACCUCCCGUCUUCGGGCGGCGGUGGCGGAGUGAGUGAUGACCCCGGCGGUCGAAGGUGGGCUGGCGACUAGGGCGACCGACGAUGGGGUGGCGGCCAUGGCCACCACCUUCUGCCUUCGGGCCGCGGUGGUGGAGCGGGUGAUGGCCACAAUGGCCAGCAGUGGGGUGGCGACCACGACGUCCACCUCCUGCCUUCGGGCCGCGAGGCGGAGCGGGCGAUCGCCCUGGCUUUCGACGGUGGUGUGGCGGCAACAGCUACCGGCAGGCACCGGCGAGGGAGCGUGUGGUGGGUGUUCCACGCAAACACAACAGGACACCACGCGCACUACACUAUGUCGUGGGACUGCGCCGCCGCCACGGUGUAGCCUCCCAGCUGGAGCUGUCGUCUGAUGAUAGCGGAGUGGCUGAGCGACCACGACGGACCGGUGCCAUUGGCGAUUGUGGGAGAAGCAGACGAGAUAAGCUAUAGGGUGGGAGGGAAAAUGCGAUGCAAGACUCGCCGAUCGUGAGGGUUUUUAUAGCAGGCCGGUAAGCAUUGGGAUUUUGGAGGAUUUCACCCAGUCGGGCGGGAGCUUGCACGGGAACCUGCGAGGUUGCGCAGGAACGGGAUAUUGGGGAACAUGGUAAUUUCAAAAAAAUUCCUAUGAUCAUGCAAGAUCUAUCUAGGUGAUGCAUAUCAACGAGAGGGGAGAGUGUGUCCACAUACCCUCGUAGAUCAAAAACAGAAGCAUUUCAAUAACGUGGUUUAUGUAGUCGAACUUCUUCGCGAUCCAAUCGAUCAAGUACCGAACGUAUGACACCUCCGCAUUCAGCACACGUUUAGCUCGAUGACAUCCCUCGUGCUCUUGAUCCAGUUGAGGACGAGGGUGAGUUCUAUUAGCACGACGGCGCGGCGACGGUGAAGAUGAUGCUGCGGCCACAGGGUUUCACCUAAGCUCUAUGAUAGUAUGAUCGAGGUGUGUGUAACUGUGGAGGGGGGCACCGCACACAGUUGGGAGAGAAACUUGCGUGUUCUAGGGUGCCCCCUGCCCCUGUAUAUAAAGGAGCAAGGGGAGGCCGGCCAGCCCUCCUAGGGCGCGCCCCACAAGGGGAGUCCUACUAGGACUACUAGUCCUAGUAGGAUUCCACCAAGAGGGAGAGAGGGGAAGGAAGGAGAGGGAGAGGGAGAAGGAAACGGGGGCGCCACCCCCCUUCCCUAGUCCAAUUCGGACCCAAGGGGGAGGGGGGCGCAGCUUGCCCUGGCCGCCCCUAUCUCUCUCCACCAAGGCCCAUGAGGCCCAUUAGUCAAAGUCGAUUCAACUAAAGUUGGAGAAAUAGAGACCCGCCAGCCACCUUUGUGCAAAAGCACGUCGGUAGAACCAGUCUAAUGAACACGGUCAUGUAAUGUCAGUCCGGGCUGCUUCAUCCAACAAUACCGCUGAAUCAAAGUAAGACGCUGGUGGUAAGCAGUAUGACUAUUAUCGCCUACAACUCUUUGUGUUCUACUCGUGCAUAUAACAUCUAUGCAUAGACCUGGCUCGGAUGCCAUUGUUGGGGAACACGAUAAUUUAAAAAAAUUCCUACGAUCACGCAAGAUCUAUCUAGGUGAUGCAUAUCAACGGGAGGGGAGAGUGUGUCCACGUACCCUCGUAGAUCGAAAGCGGAAGCAUUUCAAUAAUGCGGUUGACGUAGUCGAACUUCUUCGUGAUCCAACCGAUCAAGUACCGAACGUACGACACCUCCGCGUUCAGCACACGUUUAGCUUGAUGACAUCCCUCGUGCUCUUGAUACAGUUGAGGACGAGGGUGAGUUCUGUCAGCAUGGCAGCGUGGCGACGGUGAUGAUGAUGCUACCGGCGCAGGGCUUCACCUAAGCUCUACGAUAGUAUGAUCGAGGUGUGUAACUGUGGGAGAGAAACUUGUGUGUUCUAGGGUGCCCCCUGCUCCCGUAUAUAAGGGAGCAAGGGGAGGCCAGCCGGCCCUCCUAGGGUGUGCCCCACAAGGGGAGUCCUAAUAGGACUACUAGUCCAAGUAGGAUUCCACCAAGAGGGAGAGAGGGGGAAGGAAGGAGAGGGAGAGGGAGAAGGAAAGGGGGGCGCCGCCUCCCUUCCCUAGUCCAAUUCGGACCCAAGGGGGAGGGGGCACGUGGCCUGCCCUGGCCGCCCCUCUCUCUCUCCACCAAGGCCCAUGAGGCCCAUUAGUUCUCCCGAGGGGUUCCGAUAACUCUCCGGCACUCCGGUUCUAUCCGAAACUUUUCUGGAACACUUACGGUCUCUGAAUAUAGCCGUCCAAUUUAUUAAUCUUUAUGUCUCGACCAUUUCGAGACUCCUCAUCAUGUCCGUGAUCUCAUCCGGGACUCUGAACAAACUUCGGUCAUAAAAAACACAUAACUCAUAAUGCACAUCGUCAUCGCACGUUAAGCGUGCGGACCCUACGGGUUUGAGAACUAUGUAGACAUGACCGAGACUCAUCUCCGGUUAAUAACCAAUAGCGGAACCUGGAUGCUCAUGUUGGCUCCUACAUAUUCUACGAAGAUCUUUAUCGGUCAAACCGCAUAACAACAUAUGUUGUUCCCUUUGUCAUCGCUAUGUUACUUGCCUGAGAUUCGAUCGUCGGUAUCAUCAUACCUAGUUCCAUCUCGUUAUCAGCAAGUCUCUUUACUCGUUCCUUAAUAAUUCAUCCCGCAACUAACUCAUUAGUUACAAUGCUUGCAAGGCUAGUAGUGAUGAGUAUUACCGAGAGGGCCCAGAGAUACCUCUCCGAAACACGGAGUGACAAAUCCUAAUCUCGAUCUAUGCCAACUCAACAAACAUCUUCGGAGACACCUGUAGAGCACCUUUAUAAUCACCCAUUUAUGUUGUGACGUUUGCUAGCACACAAAGUGUUCCUCCGGUAUUCGGGAGUUGCAUAAUCUCAUAGUCUGAGGAACACGUAUAAGUCAUGAAGAAAGCAGUAGCAAUGAAAAUGCAACGAUCAUAAUGCUAAGCUAACAGAUGGGUCAUGUCCAUCACAUCAUUCUCCUAAUGAUGUGACCCUGUUCGUCAAAUUACAACACAUGUCUAUGGUUAGGAAACAUAGCCAUCUUUGAUUAACAAGCUAGUCAAGUAGAGGCAUACUAGGGACAAUAUGUUUUGUCUAUGUAUUCACACAUGUACUAAGUUUCUGGUUAAUACAAUUCUAGCAUGAAUAAUAAACAUUUAUCAUGAAAUAAGGAAAUAAAUAAUAACUUUAUUAUUGCCUCUAGGGCAUAUUUCCUUUAGUCUCCCACUUGCACUAGAGUCAAUAAUCUAGAUUACAUAAUAAUGAUUCUAACACCCAUGGAGCUUUGGUGCUGAUCAUGUUUUUCUUGUGGAAGAGGCUUAGUCAACGGGUGUGCAACAUUCAGAUCCGUAUGUAUCUUGCAAAUCUCUAUGUCCCCCUCCGACACUUGAUGAUGGAUGGAAUUGAAGCGUCUCUUAAUGUGCUUGGUUCUCUUGUGAAAUCUGGAUUCCUUUGCCAAGGCAAUUGCACCAGUAUUGUCACAAAAUAUUUUAAUUGGACUCGAUGCACUAGGUAUGACACCUAGAUCGGAUAUGAACUCCUUCAUCGAGACUCCUUCAUUUUCUGCUUCCGAAGCAGCAAUGUUCUCCGCUUCACACGUAGAUCCCACCAUGACGCUCUGCUUGGAACUGCACCAACUGACAGCUCCUCCAUUCAAUAAAAAUACGUAUCUGGUUUGCGAAUUAGAGUCAUCUGGAUCAGUGUUAAAGCUCGCAUCAACGUAACCAUUUACGACGAGAUCCUUUUAACCUCCAUAAACAAGAAACAUAUCCUUAGUCCUUUUUAGGUAUUUCAGGAUUUUCUUGACCGUUCUCCAAUGCUCCACUCUGGGAUUACUUUGGUACCUCCCUGCUAUGCUUAUAGCAAGGCACACAUCAGGUCUAGUACACAUCAUUGCAUACAUGAUAGAACCUAUGGCUGAAGCAUAGGGAAUGACCUUCAUUUUCUCUCUAUCUUCUGCAGUGGUCGGGCAUUGAGUCUGACUCAACUUCACACCUUGUAACACAGGCGAGAACCCUUUAUUUGACUGAUCCAUUUUGAACUUCUUCAAAACUUUAUCAAGGUAUGUGUUUUGUGAAAGUCCAAUUAAGCGUCUUGAUCUAUCUCUAUAGAUCUUGAUGCCCAAUAUGUAAGCAGUUUCUCCGAGGUCUUUCAUGGAAAAACUCUUAUUCAGGUAUCCCUUUGUGCUAUCCAGAAAUUCUAUAUCAUUUCCAAUCAACAAUAUGUCAUCCACAUAUAAUAUUAGAAACGCUACAGAACUCCCACUCACUUUCUUGUAAAUACAAGCUUCUCCAAAAGUUUGUAUAAAACCAUAUUCUUUGAUCACACUAUCAAAGUAUUUAUUCCAACUCCGAGAGGCUUGCACCAGUAAAUAAAUGGAUCACUGGAGCUUGCACACUUUGUUAGCACCCUUUGGAUCGACAAAACCUUUUGGUUGCAUCAUAUACAACUCUUCUUACAGAAAUCCAUUCAGGAAUGCAGUUUUGACAUCCAUCUGCCAAAUUUCAUAAUCAUAAAUUGCAGCAAUUGCUAACAUGAUUCGGACGGACUUAAGCAUCACUACGGGUGAGAAAGUCUCAUCGUAGUCAACUCCUUGAACUUUGUCGAAAACCUUUUGCGACAAGUUGAGUGUCGGUGUCAAAACCGGCGGAUCUCGGGUAGGGGGUCCCAAACUGUGCGUCUAGGCGGAUGGUAACAGGAGACGAGGGACACGAUGUUUUUACCCAGGUUCGGGCCCUCUUGAUGGAGGUAAAACCCUAUGUCCUGCUUGAUUAAUAUUGAUGAUGUGGGUUACAAGAGUAGAUCUACCACGAGAUCAAGGAGGCUAAACCCUAGAAGCUAGCCUAUGGUAUGAUUGUUGUUCGUCAUAUGGACUAAAGCCAUCCGGUUUAUAUAGACACCGGAGAGGGCUAGGGUUACACAGAGUCGGUUACAAUGGUAGAAGAUCUACAUAUCCAAAUCGCCAAGCUUGCCUUCCACGCCAAGGAAAGUCCCAUCCGGACACGGGACGAAGUCUUCAAUCUUGUAUCUUCAUAGUCUUGGAGUCCGGCCGUUGAUGGUAGUUCGGCUAUCCGGACACCCCCUAGUCCGGGGCUCCCUCAGUAGCCCCUGAAGCAGGCUUCAAUGACGACGAGUCCGGCGCGCAUAUUGUCUUCGGCAUUGCAAGGCGGGUUCCUCCUCCGAAUAAUUUAUAGAAGAUCGUGAACACCAGGAUAGUGUCCAACUCUGCAAAAAUAAAUUCCACAUACCACCGUAGAGAGAAUAAUAUUACACAAGAUCAAUCUGCUGACGUAUUCUACGGCGUGACGUCACACCACUUCCAAGCCUUUACUCGAAUUGUUUUUAUUGUUCCACCUCAGCACGUUUAGCAAGGCGGUUUCCUUGGCACGUCUUGUCGAAGCAGAGAUAGUGUUCCCCUUAUUCCGGGAUUCCCAUCAAUACGGACGUGGGUAACCCAACCGCGCCAUUGAUUGCGGCGCUUGGGAGAUAAGCGAGUUUUAUCAGGCCGGUGGGGACGCAUGUUUCCAUCCGCCCAUAUAAGGGGAUAAAGAUCCAACCUUUUUACCUGCGCCUUCUUCCUUCUUGGCUUAUCCAUCUCUGCAAACUCGAGCUCUAGCGCCCAAGCCCGCACAUCUCACCUCAACCUUCUCCAAAUAUGUCCGGAGUGGGAGGCAAGUGGAUGGCCUCCUCCGUCACGGAGGGGCAUAUCCAGAAGCUGCGCAGCGACGGAUACUUGUCCAACGACAUCGUGCAUCGGUCCCCGACGAGGGAGAGCUCAUCCCCACCCCUAGGCCCCAUGAGAGGGUAGUAUUCCUUCCCCAUUUCCUCCGCGGACUGGGCUUCCCACUUCAUCCCUUUGUCCGGGGGCUCAUGUUCUACCACGGCCUAGAUUUCCAUGAGCUGGCCCCGAAUUUUAUCCUCAACAUCUCGGUGUUUAUCGUCGUGUGCGAGGCCUUCCUCUGCAUCCAGCCCCACUUCGGCUUGUGGCUCAAGACCUUCAGUGUCAAGCCGAAGGUUGUGAAGGGAAGCCAAGCGGAGUGCGGAGGCGCCAUGGUGGGCAGGAUGUCCCACGUUACGUGGCUGGAGGGCACCUUUGUGGAAACCAUCAAGGGGUGGCAAUCGGGGUGGUUCUACAUCACCGAGCCGCGUGAUCCCGAAUGGGCAGCGGCCCCCGAAUUCAGAUCCGGCAUCCCCACACGGCUCACCUCCUGGAAAGAGAGCGGCCGGAUUUGGGGCGAUUCGGAGGAGCUGACCGGACUCCAAGCCUGCGUCCAAAAGCUGGUGGACAAGAAGCUCAAGCUUGUCAACGUAGUCCAGGUCAUGCUCGUCCGCCAGAUUCUCCCGUGCCAACAAUGGGGCUUCAACAUGUGGGAGUUCGAUCCGGCGCAGCACCAGACUUUGAAUGGGCUCUUUGACACUAUGUACGAAGAGGUCUGGAAGGUGCUGUUCAAGGGCGCCGAGGCUCCCGCAUCCGCUACCGAAGAUCGCAGAUUCAGCUCGCAGCGUCCAGCUGACGAGGUAAGUGAUAUUGUCCUUUACGGGACGCUUGUUAUUCAUAGUUUGACUCUAUGCAGGAUCUAAACUCCCUUUCCUUUGACAGGACUGGCUGAAGAAGGCCGCACAUGCUAUCUGUCCGACCCCAUUGCCAGAGGACCCAGCUGACGCCCGCCUAACGGGGCUGCUGGCUCCGGCACCCCACGUGGUGCCGGAGAAGAAGGCCAAGAAGAAGGCCACGGGGACUCGGAAGAGUUCCCUUUUUCAGGUGCUACCGGACGAUGAAUCCGAGGCCGACUCCUCCCACCAAGGCGAGGAGGAGAAUAAGAAAGCCUCUCCCCCAGCGGGGGGAGGGAAGAAAAGGAAGGCCUCCCCAACAAGGGAGGCCGAAGGGUCCAAGAGAGAAAAAACUCUUCCCCCGGACUGUUCCGCCAACGCCAGUGACGACGACGAGGACUGGCCUCCAAGGGCCAAGCCUCUGGCGAGAUCGUAAGUAUUUGGACUCCCGAAUAACUUCAAGUUUUUCGUUUUCCGCCACAUUAUGUCUUUCUAAUGCCGCAUACAACCCUGCAGUCCGCCUAAGGAUGAUCUCCCCACUUCUUCGAGCGGGUCCUUAGGGGCGUCAGAUAUGGAUUCUCUUCCGACUGCCUCCACCCCCCGUGAUGCGGACGAUGCCGAGGUGGGAUCCCAGGAAGGGACCCACCAGGAGGAGAGGGCCCCGGAGGUGUCGCAGGACAACCUCCCGGACUUUGCAUCGGACUCAGCCCCAGAACCCAUAGUGACUCCGGAGUCCGGUGCGCGACCCCUUCGUAAGAAGGGCAAGACCGCGACGCCGGCUGCCUCCGUCCAACCGGAGGUGCCGAAUAAUUUGCUGGAGGCGCUCAACGGCGCCUCCAUCGAAGAGGAACACCGCACUGUUAUGAGUGCGGUGAUUCAGAAGGUUCAGCUCGCCAAGAGCGGGCUGACCGAAGCCUGCAGUAGCCUUCUAACAGGCUUUGAGGUAAGAAUUUCAAUAUAUGUAAAAUGGUACCGCAUAGACAGUAGCCCCUGAUGCUCGGUUCGGUGUUUGGAAAGAAAAGCCGGACUGAGGAUCUUUAGAAAGAUAAACGCAGGAGUCAUGAAAAUAUGUCAAUAUGGGAUUGCAGGCUGUGCUGCUGACCUCUGCCGCACUGACUGCGAAGGUCCAAACUUUGAAGGAAAACCUCGAGCGGUCCGAGAACGAGCUCGGCCAUGCCAAGAAGCAGCUCGAGGAAAAAGAAGGUGAGUAAUACCUUAUGAAAAUUGUACCUUACAGAAAAGGAUUUGGUUGCAAGAAAAAUGACAAGGAUAACUGGGGUAUUGCAGGGGCCACUAAUGAGGUGGCGACCCUGAAGGAGGCGGUGGCCGCGGCCGAACACAAUGCGGCUGCGGAGCGCACCGAGCGAGAGAAACAGGAGGUGCGGGUGGCGGAGGUACAGCAAGAGCUCCAGGAUCUCGUGAGGAAACAUGAGAGCCUGGAGCGUGACUUGAAGACUCGAGAGUCUGAGCUUGCAAUGGCUCUUGAGAGUGCCAAAGCCGCUAAGGCCGAAGCCUACAAGGCCCUCCAGGAGAUAGAGGCGGUGAAGAAAAUAGCAGCGGGUAAGGCAUUUUUCAUGCAAAAUAAGCAUGUGAGUGUUAAUUACCUGUCGCUUACCCGAAUUAGGAGCUCUCCAGGAGCGUUCGCAGAUCUUCCCCGCAGCGUGUCCGAUGCUGCCGCAUUCUACCGGGCCGAGGAGGGGAGCUCAACGGAGAAGGUCUUCUGGUCUCAGUAUGCCGAGGCCGGACAUCCGGUGCCCCUUAGCGACCAGCUAAAGCAGCUGGUCGAGCUCCACAAGGCGGCCGAACAGGCCAUGAAGGGCCUCAUAGUUCGGCUGUGGCCUAAGGAGGCUAUGCCUGGGAGCUACUUCGGCCUGGUACGGCGGCUGGUGGACGCGCGCCCGUGGGUUGAAGUUAUCAAGCACUCCGCCUGUAUCGAGGGUGCGCGUUGGGCCCUUGCCCGCGCAAAGGUGCACUGGGGCAAGAUGGAUGCCCAGAAGCUUGUGACGGACCCCCCACCAGAGGGCAAGGAGCAUCACACGCCCAAGAUGUAUUAUAGGAGUGUGCUGAAGGGCGCCCACAUUAUUGCGGGUGAGUGCUCCAAAGAAGAAGUUUUUGAGUAGACUCGCGUUUUGUUAUCCUGUGCGCUGAAAACUAAGUUCAUAUGCGCGAAGCAACACUUGUUAAUUUAAAAUAUUACCUUCUGUGCGGCUGUUUAUCAAAUCUGAGAGAUGGCAAGUCGUCACCUUCAGCCCCCAUGCCACGAGUGCUAGGGUGUUUGGGAUAAACUCGAGCGCUCUUGUUCCCAUUUUUGGGUCCAUCUAGGGAGGCGCUCAACACAACGAACAAGGCAACCGUACUUAUAAUGCUUGAACACUCUCACUUAGCCAUAGAAUUCUAUAAUUUUAAAUUUCGGCGAAGCCCCUAGUUUUCGGAAGGCUGACAUUGGGGCGCUAUCCACGCCUUGGCCGGACAGAAUCCGGCUCCAUGCUCGAAGCGGCAUAAGUCUUUAGGGACUCGCAAAGAACCUCUCGAACAGCGACCAGCUCUCGCCUCAUCAUGACGGUCAGUUUUAGCUUUCUCCACUGAGGCGUUAACCCAGCUCAACUGGGGCACAAUCGCAGUGGUUCUCCCAGUGCUACCUUAGCCGAUAAAACGGAACGUAAGGUACCAAAACAUGGGAGCCGGGCAAACCCAACUAUUGACCCAAGAACAUGAUUCGGAGCCGAUGCAUAUAAUGCUAUAAGUUCGGGGUGCCGCACUUGUGAAAGUGUUCGGACUUAUCACACCAUAAGCGGGAAACAUAAGCCCCUGGUGUAUUUAGCCGUACCAAAACGUACGGAUGCAACAUGUCAUAGAUGAACAUAUGUGUAAGAAAGAAAUGCAAUUAGAAGCAAAAAUGUGCUGCAUUGCUUUACUCAAUAAAAACUGCUGUAAGUGCAGGACGAUACAAGUGGUGCGGUAAGCAAGGGAUGGGACUGUUUAACAUGUCCCCCUCCAGGGGUAGGCUACGGAAUAAUGCAUAAAACAGAUUUAAUGCUCAUGAUGGAGACCACCUGGAUUUUCGUUGUAGCCUUUCUCCUUCCCUAGCUGUUGCAUCGUGGGUUCGGCAUGUCUGCUGCCGGACAGGGCCUCUGACGAACGGAGUCCUGUAGGUAAAAAAUAAAAGGAAAAGAAAAAGAAACGACACACAUAAGAGCCCCUGGUGCGGUUGAGCCGUAGUCUGGGCUUAUCGUGGUCGAGCCCCUUGCCCCAUGCCCACGGUAUCUUCAGAGCGUAAUGGAGUACGCGAAGGGUCUGUCUUAAUGUUUUACAGGGGCUGGGGUUGGGGCCGCACUGCUACGCGUGCUCGGAACGUGCCAGGUGGUCGUGUUGUAGGUUACUCCGGGCACGCUUAGCUGUGUCCGGCCGCUUGGCAGCCGGACUCGAGAAUUGCCUUAAAAGGCUGCUUUGUACUUCUGCCGCGAGAGCCGCUGUAUGUUCCUUCGUUCGGAGGGAGCGUUCAAUGUUUUUGUUGACCGUGAUGACUCCUCUAGGGCCUGGCAUCUUGAGCUUGAGGUAUGCGUAGUGCGGCACCGCGUUAAACUUUGCGAACACGGUACGUCCGAGCAAGGCAUGAUAGCCGCUGCGGAACGAGACUAUGUCGACGAUUAACUCCUCGCUUCGGAAGUUAUCCGGGGAUCCGAAGACCACUUCCAGUGUAACUGAGCCUGUACAAUUGGCUUCUACACCUGGUAUGACGCCUUUAAAGGUCGUCUUGGUAGGUUUAAUCCUUGAGGGGUCUAUGCCCAUUUUGCGCACCGUGUCCUGAUAAAGCAGGUUUAGGCUGCUACCGCCGUCCAUCAGGACUCUGGUGAGAUGAAAUCCAUCUACGAUUGGGUCUAGAACCAAUGCGGCGAACCCACCAUGGCGAAUGCUAGUGGGGUGGUCCCUUCGGUCAAAGGUGAUCGGGCAAGAGGACCAUGGAUUGAACUUCGGGGCAACUGGCUCCAUCGUGUAUACGUCCCUGAGUGCACGCUUCCGCUCCCUUUUGGGUAUGUGCGUGGCAUAUAUCAUGUUCACCGUCCGCACCUGUGGGGGGAAACCCUUCUGUCCUCUAUUGUUCGGCGGUCGGGUCUCGUCCUCGUCGUCGCUAUGUAGCCCCUUGUCGCUGUUUUCGGCAAUUAACUUGCCUGCCUGCUUGAACACCCAACAGUCCCUAUUGGUGUGGUUAGCUGGCUUUUCAGGGGUGCCGUGUAUCUGGCACAAGCGGUCAAGUAUUCGGUCCAAAUUGGACGAACCCUGAGUUGUUCUUUUGAAUGGCUUUUUCCGUUGACCGGGUUUAGAGCCUCUGAAUCCGGCAUUGACUGCCGUAUCCUCACUGUUAUCGCCAUUAAUGCGGCGUUUGUUUUUGUUGCGACGCGACCUGCCACUACGGUCCUUGAUAUCCGGACUGCCAGAAUUUUUGUUGAGGUUGUUGCUGCGUGCUAGCCAGCUGUCCUCACCCGCACAGAAGCGGGUCAUGAGUGAUGUAAGGGCUGCCAUGGAUUUCGGCUUUUCCUGUCCCAGGUGCCGGGCAAGCCAUUCAUCGCGGAUGUUAUGCUUGAAGGCCGUGAGGGCCUCGGCAUCCGGACAGUCGACGAUUUGGUUUUUCUUGGUUAAGAACCGUGUCCAGAAUUGUCUGGCCGAUUCGUCUGGCUGCUGAAUUAUGUGGCUUAGGUCAUCUGCAUCUGGUGGUCGCACGUAUGUGCCUUGGAAGUUAUCGAGGAAAGCGGCUUCCAGGUCCUCCCAACUCCCAAUUGACUCUGCUGGCAAGCUAUUGAGCCAAUGUCGGGCUGGUCCUUUAAGCUUGAGGGGGAGGUAUUUGAUGGCGUGAAGAUCGUCACCGCGGGCCAUGUGGAUGUGGAGGAGAUAGUCUUCGAUCCAAACCGCGGGGUCUGUUGUGCCAUCGUAGGAUUCAAUAUUGACGGGUUUAAACCCUUCGGGGAUUUGAUGAUCCAUUACUUCAUCUGUGAAGCAUAGUGGGUGUGCGGCGCCUCUGUACUGGGCGAUAUCGCGACGGAGCUCAAAAGAGCUUUGUCUGUUGUGUUCGGCCUGGCCGGACUUACUGUGUCCGGGGUGACGGUGAUCGUCACGUAUCGUGGGGCGCCCACGUGAUCCAUAGAUCGAUCUUGAUUGUCUUGCCUUAUCCUCCAAUAUGUCGCGCAGGUCCGGAGUGUUCCCCUGUGGCCUUGUGCUUUUCGAGCGAUGCCGGGGUACGGGUCUAGUGAAGGGCCUUGAGGCCACUCUGUCGCGACCAUGGGGUGGUCGGUCAGCCGUAUUGUCUCCUGGUGAUGCGGGUUCGUAAGCCUCCUCCUCUAAUCGGGGGAGCAGCUUGUGUUUAGGGUAGCUUUUGGAGGGGCGUUCGAGCUCAUGCUCUUAGGCCGCGAGGACUUCAGUCCAUCUUUCGUCUAGCAGAUCCUGAUCAGCUCUAAGCUGUUGCUGCUUUUUCUUGAGGCUAUUCACCGUGGCCAUAAGCCUGCAUUUAAAACGCUCUUGUUCGACGGGAUCCUCAGGCACGACGAAUUCGUCAUCGUCGAGGCUCGCUUCGUCUCCGGAGGGAGGCGUAUAAUCCUCUGCCUCUUCUCCUGCCGCUCCUUCAUAAGGGCUGGCGUCCCCCUCCUCCUGUGCUGGAUCUUGCUGGAGUGGGUUGUCUUCGGCGCUAUCCGGUGUAUUAUUGUCUCCGGUGCCGGAAUCCUCAUUCUUGCUAUGGUGGGAUUUAGAGCGGCGCCGCUGACGCCGGCGCUUGGGCUGUUUCUUGGAGGGGUCAUCCUCCGCUAUUCCUUCGCCGUUCCCAUCCUUUAGGAUAUCCACCAUGUAUAUGUCGUAUGAAGAGGUGGCUUUCCAGUGCCCGGUGGGCGCUGGUUCUUGGUCGUCUCCGGCAUCGUCGUCCAUACCGUCGAUGUCCUCGGAGUCGUAGUCUAGCAUGUCGGUUAAAUCAUAGACAGCGGCUACCAAGUGGGUGGUGGGUGGGCUUUGAAUUUCUUCGUCGUCCGCAUCCCAACCGUCCUGACCGUAGUCCGGCUAGGUCUCUCCUGAUAACGAGAGAUAUUUUAGCGAACUCAAGAUGUCACCGAAAGGUGAGUGUUGAAAGACGUCCGCUACGGUGAACUCCAUGAUCGGCGCCCAAUCGGAUUCGAUCAGGGCGGGCGCGGGAGGUUCGGAGUCCGGUGAGGAGUCCGGCACCUCGGAGUUACGAGCUUUAUGAGGGACAAAGUCAGUGUUCGGCUCUAUCGCCGUAGAGGUUGCAGCCCCCGAGGCGGUGUCUAGGCAUCCGUCCUCGAUCUGCACGACCGGCUCCGAAUUGACGAUCGGAGCGGGCUCGAGUGCGGCCUCCAGGGUACUGUCCGGCUGCAGAGCUAAAUCAUGCCCAUCGUGACAGUACGACACGCUCGGCUGUGGCUCGAAUCCGUCGAGUAUCAAGUCCCCGCGGAUGUCAGCCGUGAAGUUCAAACUUCCAAAUCUGACCUAACGGCCAGGGGCGUAGCCUUCGAUCUGCUCCAGCUGGCCAAGCGAAUUGGCCCGCAGUGAGAAGCCGCCGAAUACGAAGAUCUGUCCGGGGAGGAAGGUCUCACCCUGGACUGCAUCGUCGUUGAUGAUCGAAGAAGCCAUCGAGCCUAUCGGUGACGACACAGAGGAACUCUCAAUGAAAGCACCAAUGUCGGUGUCAAAACCGGCGGAUCUCGGGUAGGGGGUCCCGAACUGUGCGUCUAGGCAGAUGGUAACAGGAGACGAGGGACACGAUGUUUUUACCCAGGUUUGGGCCCUCUUGAUGGAGGUAAAACCCUACGUCCUGCUUGAUUAAUAUUGAUGAUGUGGGUUACAAGAGUAGAUCUACCACGAGAUCAAGGAGGCUAAACCCUAGAAGCUAGCCUAUGGUAUGAUUGUUGUUCGUCCUAUGGACUAAAGCCAUCCGGUUUAUAUAGACACCGGAGAGGGCUAGGGUUACACAGAGUCGGUUACAGUGGUAGAAGAUCUACAUAUCCGCAUCGCCAAGCUUGCCUUCCACACCAAGGAAAGUCCCAUCUGGACACGGGACGAAGUCUUCAAUCUUGUAUCUUCAUAGUCUUGGAGUCCGGCCGAUGAUGGUAGUUUGGCUAUCCGGACACCCCUAGUCCGGGACUCCCUCAUUGAGCUUUGUAGAUAGUAACACUACUAUGAUCGUCCGUCUUCCUCUUGAAGAUCCAUUUAUUCUUAAUGGCUUGCCGAUCAUCGGGCAAGUCCACCAAAGUCCACACUUUGUCCUCAUACAUGGAUCCCAUCUCAGAUUUCAUGGCCUCAAGCCAUUUCGCGAAAUCUGGGCUCAUCAUCGCUUCCUCAUAGUUCGUAGGUUCAUCAUGGUCUAGUAACAUGACUUCCAGAAUAGGAUUACCGUACCACUCUGGUGCAGAUCAUACUCUGGUUGACCUACGAGGUUCGGUAGUAAAUUGAUCUGAAGUUUCAUGAUCAUCAUCAUUAGCUUCGUCAUUAAUUGGUGUAGGAAUCACUGGAACUGAUUUCUGUGAUGAACUACUUUACAAUUCAGGAGAAGGUACAGUUACCUCAUCAAGUUCUACUUUCCUCACACUCACUUCUUUAGAGAGAUACUCCUUCUCUAGAAAGGAUCCAUUCUUAGCAACGAAUAUCUUGCCUUCGGAUCUGUGAUAGAAGGUGUACCCAACAGCUUCCUUUGGGUAUCCUAUGAAAACACACUUCUUAGAUUUGGGUUCAAGCUUAUCAGGUUGAAGCUUUUUCACAUAAGCAUUGCAGCCCCAAACUUUAAGAAACGACAACUUUGGUUUCUUGCCAAACCAUAGUUCAUAAGGCGUCGUCUCAACGGAUUUUGAUGGUGCCCUAUUUAAAGUGAAUGUAGCCGUCUCUAAAGCAUAACCCCAAAACAAUAGCGGUAAAUCAGUAAGAGACAUCAUAGAUCGCACCAUAUCUAAUAAAGUACGGUUGUGAUGUUCGGACACACCAUUUCGCUGUGGUGUUCCAGGUGGCGUAAGUUGUGAAACUAUCCCAAGUUGUUUCAAAUGAAGACCAAACUCGUAACUCAAAUAUUCUCCUCCAUGAUCAGAUCGUAGAACUUUAUUUUCUUGUUACGAUGAUUUCCACUUCACUCUGAAAUUCUUUGAACUUUUCAAAUGUUUCAGACUCAUGCUUCAUUAAGUAGAUAUACCCAUAUCUGCUCAAAUCAUCUGUGAAGGUAAGAAAAUAAUGAUACCCGCCACGAGCAUCAACACUCAUUGGACCGCAUACAUCUGUAUGUAUUAUUUCCAAUAAGUCAGUAGCUCUCGUUCCAUUGUUCCGGAGAAUGGAGUUUUAGUCAUCUUGCCCAUAAUUAAGGCACGGUUCGCAAGCACCAAGUGAUUCAUAAUCAAGUAAUUCCAAAAGUCCAUCAGCAUGGAGUUUCUUCAUGCACUUUAUACCGAUAUGACCCAAACGGCAGUGCCACAAAUAAGUUGCACUAUCAUUAUCAACUUUGCAUCUUUUGGCUUCAAUAUUAUGAAUAUGUGUAUCAUCACUAUUGAGAUUCAAUAAAAAUAGACCACUUAGCAAGGGUGCAUGACCAUAAAAGAUAUUACUCAUAUAAAUAGAACAACCAUUAUUCUCUGCUUCAAAUGAAUAGCUGUCUCACACCAAACAAGAUCCAGAUAUAAUGUUCAUGCUCAACGCUGGCACCAAAUAACAAUUAUUCAGGUCUAAAACUAACCCCGAAGGUAGAUGUAGAGGUAGCAUGCCGACGGCGAUCACAUCAGCCUUGGAACCAUUUCCCACGCGCAUCGUCACCUCGUCCUUAGCCAAUCUUUGUUUAAUCCGUAGCCCCUGUUUCGAGUUGCAAAUAUGACCGAAAGAACCAGUAUCAAAUACCCAGGCGCUACUACGAGCAUUAGUAAGGUACACAUCAAUAACAUGUAUAUCAAAUAUACCUUUCACUUUGCCAUCCUUCUUAUCCGCCAAAUACUUGGGACAGUUCCGCUUCCAGUGUUCAGUCCCUUUGCAGUCGAAGCACUUAGUUUCAGGCUUAGGUCCAGACUUGGGUUUCUUCUCCUGAGCAGCAACUUUCUUGCCGUUCUUCUUAAAGUUCCCCUUCUUCCCUUUGCCCUUUUUCUUGAAACUAGUGGUCUUGUUGACCAUCAACACUUGAUGCUCCUUCUUGAUUUCUACCUCUGCAGCCUUUAGCAUCAUGAAGAUCUCGGGAAUAGUCUUGUUCAUCCCUUCCAUAUUAUAGUUCAUCAUGAAGCCUUUAUAGCUUGGUGGCAGUGAUUGAAGAACUCUGCCAAUGACACUAUCAUCAGGAAGAUUAACUCCUACCCAGGCAUUCUGAGUAUGUGUUCACUGACAGAACUAUGCUCCUCCAUUUUGCAGCUGUAUAACUUGUUGGAGACUUCAUAUCUCUCAACUCUGCAUUUUCUUGUAAUAUUAAUUUCAACUCUUGGAAUAUCUCAUAUGCUCCAUGACGUUCAAAACGUCUAUGAAGUCCCGAUUCUAAGCCGUAAAGCAUGGCACACUGAACUAUCGAGUAGUCAUCAUCUUUGCUCUACCAGACGUUCUUAACGUCAUCAGUAACAUCUGCAGCAGGCCUGGCACCCAACCGUGCUUCCAGGAUGUAAUUCUUCUAUUAAUCCUCAAGUUACGGACCCAGUCCAUGUAGUUGCUGCCAUCAUCUUUCAACUUAGCUUUCUCUAGGAAUGCAUUAAAAUUCAAAGGAACGGUAGCACGGGCCAUUGAUCUACAAUAACAUAGACAUGCAAAAUAACUAUUAGGACUAAGUUCAUGAUAAAUUAAAGUUCAAUUAAUCAUAUUACUUAAGAACUCCCACUUAGAUAGACAUCCCUCUAGUCAUCUAAAUGAUCACGUGAUCCAAAUCAACUAAACCAUGUCCGAUCAUCACGUGAGAUGCAGUAGUUUUCAAUGGUGAACAUCACUAUGUUGAUCAUAUCUACUAUAUGAUUCAUGUUCGACCUUUCGGUCUUAGUGUUUCGAGGCCAUAUCUGCAUAUGCUAGGCUCGUCAAGUUUAACCCAAGUAUUCCGCGUGUGCAAAACUGGCUUGCACCCGUUGUAUGUGAACGUAGAGCUUAUCACACCCAAUCAUCACGUGGUGUCUCGGCACGACAAACUGUAGCAACGGUGCAUACUCAGGGAGAACACUUAUACCUUGAAAUUUAGUAAGGGAUCAUCUUAUAAUUCUAUCGUCGUACUAAGCAAAAUAAGAUGCAUAAAAUAUAAACAUCACAUGCAAUCAAAAUACGUUACAUGAUAUGGCCAUCAUCAUCUUGUGCUCAUGAUCUCCAUCACCGAAGCAUCGCCAUGAUCUCCAUCAUCACCGGUGCGACACCUUGAUCUCCAUCGUAGCAUCGUUGUCGUCUCGCCAACUAUUGUUACUAUGACUAUUGCUACCGCUUAGUGAGAAAGUAAAACAAUUACAUGGCGAUUGCAUUGCAUACAAUAAAGUGACAACCAUAUGGCUCCUGCCAGUUGCCGAUAACUUUGUUACAAAACAUGAUCAUCUCAUACAACAAUUUAUAUCACAUCAUGCCUUGACCAUAUCACAUCACAGCAAGCCCCGCAAAAACAAGUUAGACGUCCUCUAAGUUGUUGUUGCAAGUUAUACAUGGCUGCUACGGGCUUCUAGCCAGAACCGUUCUUACCUACGCAUCAAAACCACAACGAUUUUUUGUCACGUAUGCUAUUUUAACCUUCAACAAGGACCAACCGUAGUCAAAGUCGAUUCAACUAAAGUUGGAGAAAUAGAGACCCGCCAGCCACCUUUGUGCAAAAGCACGUCGGUAGAACCAGUCUAAUGAACACGGUCAUGUAAUGUCAGUCCGGGCCGCUUCAUCCAACAAUACCGCUGAAUCAAAGUAAGACGCUGGUGGUAAGCAGUAUGACUAUUAUCGCCUACAACUCUUUGUGUUCUACUCGUGCAUAUAACAUCUAUGCAUAGACCUGGCUCGGAUGCCAUUGUUGGGGAACACGAUAAUUUAAAAAAAUUCCUACGAUCACGCAAGAUCUAUCUAGGUGAUGCAUAUCAACGGGAGGGGAGAGUGUGUCCACGUACCCUCGUAGAUCGAAAGCGGAAGCAUUUCAAUAAUGCGGUUGACGUAGUCGAACUUCUUCGUGAUCCAACCGAUCAAGUACCGAACGUACGACACCUCCGCGUUCAGCACACGUUUAGCUUGAUGACAUCCCUCGUGCUCUUGAUACAGUUGAGGAUGAGGGUGAGUUCUGUCAGCAUGGCAUCGUGGCGACGGUGAUGAUGAUGCUACCGGCGCGGGGCUUCACCUAAGCUCUACGAUAGUAUGAUCGAGGUGUGUAACUGUGGGAGAGAAACUUGUGUGUUCUAGGGUGCCCCCUGCUCCCGUAUAUAAGGGAGCAAGGGGAAGCCAGCCGGCCCUCCUAGGGUGUGCCCCACAAGGGGAAUCCUAAUAGGACUACUAGUCCAAGUAGGAUUCCACCAAGAGGGAGAGAGGGGGAAGGAAGGAGAGGGAGAGGGAGAAGGAAAGGGGGGCGCCGCCUCCCUUCCCUAGUCCAAUUCGAACCCAAGGGGGAGGGGGCAUGUGGCCUGCCCUGGCCGCCCCUCUCUCUCUCCACCAAGGCCCAUGAGGCCCAUUAGUUCUCCCGAGGGGUUCCGAUAACCCUCCGGCACUCCGGUUUUAUCCGAAACUUUUGCGGAACACUUACAGUGUCUGAAUAUAGCUGUCCAAUAUAUCAAUCUUUAUGUCUCGACCAUUUCGAAACUCCUUGUCACGUCCGUGAUCUCAUCCGGGACUCCGAACAAACUCCGGUCAUCCAAAACACAUAACUCAUAAUACAUAUCAUCAUCGAACGUUAAGCGUGCGGACCCUACGGGUUUGAGAAGUAUGUAGACAUGACCGAGACUCAUCUCCGGUCAAUAACCAAUAGAGGAGCAUUGAUGCUCAUAUCAGUUCCUACAUAUUCUAUGAAGAUCUUUAUCGGUCAAACCGCAUAACAACAUACGUUGUUCCCUUGGUCAUCGGUAUGUUACUUGCCCGAGAUUCGAUCGUCGGUAUCAUCAUACCUAGUUCAAUCUCGUUAUCGGCAAGUCUCUUUACUCAUUCCAUAAUAAUCCAUCCCGCAACUAACUCAUUAGUUACAAUGCUUGCAAGGCUAAUAUUGAUGAGUAUUACCGAGAGGGCCCAGAGAUACCUCUCCGAAACACAGAGUGAAAAAUCCUAAUCUCGAUCUAUGCCAACUCAACAAACACCUGAGACACAUGUAGAGCACCUUUAUAAUUACCCAUUUACGUUGUGAUGUUUGGUAGCACACAAAGUGUUCCUCCGGUAUUCGGGAUUUGCAUAAUCUCAUAGUGUGAGGAACAUGAAUAAGUCAUGAAGAAAGCAGUAGCAAUGAAACUGUAACGAUCAUAAUGCUAAGAUAACAGAUGGGUCAUGUCCAUCACAUCAUUCUCCUAAUAAUGUAAUCUCGUUCAUCAAAUGAAAACACAUGUCUAUGGUUAGAAAACAUAACCAUCUUUGAUUAACGAGCUAGUCAAGUAGAGGCAUACUAGGGACAAUAUGUUUGUCUAUGUAUUCACACAUGUACUAAGUUUCCGGUUAAUACAAUUCUAGCAUGAAUAAUAAACAUUUAUCAUGAAAUAAGGAAAUAAAUAAUAACUUUAUUAUUGCCUCUAGGGCAUAUUUCCUUCACGAGCUCACCGAUGAUUCAUUGGCGCCACCGUUUGGCCAAAAGAACGCUCCCGCGCACUGCGCAAGCUUACGUUGUAAGCCGUCUAUGGUAGUGAGGUGACAAGACAUGCGAGAGGAGGACGAAAGGCCACAUACACAUAUGGUUAAUUAAAAAAUGUUUACGAUUGAAUUACCUACUAUACAACCGUCCUGGUUUAUAAGUAGGAUUUAACUAAUAAAAUACGAAUGCAUGUCGCCAAAGAUUAUAGUUGGAUUCGUAUGUGAACAUAGUUUCCAAUUAUAUAAUUUUUAUAACAUGCAUUAACAUUUUGUUGGAUAAAUUUGAGGGCAAAGUAUGGCACAUAAUAUAAAGGGGACUAUAGACCAAGACGGAGGUAGUAGCACAUGGCCGCUCUCUACGCAGCGACGCAAGUGUCGGCCGGCUUGUAGGCGACCAUUUCCUGCAUGUUCAACUGCUCUAUGCGUGUGGUUGCUUGCGGUUGAGGCGGCCACUGCACGCUCUGCUCGUGUCCCACCGCGCGCGCUCUACCCUCUCACGUCCCUCGGGUGCUCUGCCCUCGUCCCUCCAUGCAUGCCGCCAUUGUUUGGGGCCGGCGCACGAUCACACACGUUCGUGUGCAUGCGUUUGCGCCGUGCGCGGCUUCACAAUGCAGUUACCCGAUGCAAAAACUGCCAUGCGGAUGCGCCGGGAAUCCAGGCCGCCCGACCCCCAUUUAUUCCUGCGGCCAUUUACAUUCAUCUCUUGCGUCACACGACACAAUAAGCACCUCCACGAUGACACAUACAGAGAGGACAUCCAGUGGUUCCAAUGACGAUCCCCAUGGCUCCAGUGGCGCUCCCAGCGACCGAUGAUGACAACAGCGGGCAGUUCACCACGCAUCACGUAGAGGACACCCACGUGAGGGGGAAGGCCCUCUCGGUGGUGUACACAAAUGAUCCGGUGUUGGUGGAGAGCUCCAUCCAAACUAUGGAGCAGUUCCUUUCCGAGGACAAGUACCAAGUGGUCGGCUUCGACCUUGAGUACACCAUCGUCCGUGCCGGGCACGAUCAGAAGUUUGUCGCCGCCCAGUUGUGCGUGCGACAUGACGUCCUCGUCUACCACUACCACCUGGCCACAAGGCCUUGCGAGCGUUUCUCUAGUUUUAUCAACAGCUCCAACUACAAGUUUGCUACGGUGGACACCACCAACGAUCUAAAAGAGCUCAAGGUUUCAGGCUUGAAAUGCCCGAAUCUUGUCAACAUCCAGGACCACUACGAGGUCUGGGGCAGCACCAAGAACAAACUGAACUCCCUGGGCGACCUCGCCUUGGCCAUCAUCGACCCCUACUACAUGAAGAUGAAGGAUGAGAGCAAGAAGCACAAGGACACCUGGCACAGUGUUUGGCAUAAGAGACUGGAUGAAGAACACGCCAAUACGCGACCAAUGACGCGUACACAAGCUACGAGAUGUACAGGCGGAUCGUUGACAUGGGGAAGUGUCUUGUUCAUGCCCCAACCGAGGGAUCGAGCCACAGAGCAGUGGCGGGAGCGUCACAAGAAGUAGAUGACUAGACGCGUCUCUCCUACUUUAGAAUGCAUGUAAUUGUUUAUUGAGGUGUGUGCGAAUGAUCUGUAUAGUCACUUAUGUAAUUGGAUGUUUAUUUCAGUUUUAUAUAUACAUGUUAUUCUUCUGUAGAUAGAGCAAAUCACAUAGCUUAUUAGCAGCAAUCGUCUGUGUUAUUAUUGGUCUUCACACACAUUUCUGAUCACAUACCUGUUUGCCACGUAUCACACACAUCUUAUUCAGUUGAACCGUUUCCAUUGUGUUGUGCAAUAAAGGCUGCAAAGAGGGACCUACAGCAACAAGGACCAGCUUCCCUACCGAUAGCUCAUCUAACAGAACUCCCAAGUUAACUGUGUUGAGGCUGGAGUAGUCAUGAUAUGGGUGACCAGAUGGGAAGUGGACUCAAUAUUAACUAGUUGGAUGGGUAACUGCAAAGGUUUAUUAUAAAACUUUGUAGUGACCCAUCCCAUCUAGUUAAUAUCGAGGUCUUUGUUUUGUAAUUUUUGACAUUUUUUGUUUUUUCAACACAUGUUGAUUGGCUUGAAGAAGGUCUAUCUCAUUACUUAUUGAUAAUUAUUUAUACGCAAGCAACUAGUUUGCAUUUUUUAAAGUUUUUUGUACGAACGGAAUCGCACACGAACUUACUAUAAUAACCGUCUGUGUUAUAAUUUCUCAUUGUAAACAGUUCAUCCGAGUGGGCUGUUUGCUGCGUAUCACACACAUCUGGUUUACACGAAUCAUUUGUGUUCUUUUGGCUGAUCGCAAAUGCCGCAUAUCACACACAUCUUGUUAAGAUGAACCAUUUCUGUUCUCUUGCCUAAUUGAAAACAGUUUGUCUGAGUGAACCGUAUGCCGUAUAUCACACACACCUUGAUCUGGCUGACCGUUUCUGUUGCAUUCCCUAAUAGCACACAGUUCAUUGGAGGGAAUUGUAAGCCGUAUAUCGCACACACAUUGAUAUGGUUGCCCAUUUCUGUUGUUCUUCCUCAUCGCAAACAGUUCUGCUGGAUCAACCGUAUGCCCUUCAUCGCACACGCAACUAAAAUCUGAACCGUGUUUGAAGCAUCCGUCAUCGCAAAUGUUUUGGACAUUUUUGACGGCUCUUUAACACCACCGUUUGCGAUUAUUGCAUCGUACAUAGUUUCUCGAAGGGUCUCUGAUCGUAGUGUCGCGUUAGCACUUAGCAGCAUCCUGCAGUAGUGAAUAGUAACUUAGCAAAGACCAAUAUGAGAAAAGCGUAGGCAUUGGGUCAGCGAUGGAUAUUUGUGUUGGAUGACACUCAUCAUAUAACAAUCACAACCUAGAGUGGUACACGAUAGCUCCAAUUCAUCAAUGUAAUAUAGGCAUGUAUUUCGUAUAUAGUCAUAUGUGCUUCUAAAAAGAAAUUGCAUGGAAUCUUUUGUCCUACCCUCCCGUGGCAGCAGGGUCCUUAGGAAAACUAAGAUAUAUUAAGGCCUCCUUGCAAUAGAGAACCGGAACAAAGCAUUAACACAUGGUGAAUACAUGAACUCCUCAAAUUAUAGCCAUUCCCGGAGAGUAUCCCAAUUAUUGUCACUUUGGGGUCUACGGAUCAGAACAAUAACAAGUGCAUAUAACUAGCAGAUAGGAUCUGGAACUCAAAUAUAUUCAUGAAAACAUAGAAGGUUCGGAUCUGAAAUCAUAGUACUCGGGCCCUAGUGACAAGCAUUAAGCAUAUAAAAGUCAUAGCAACAUCAAUCUCGGAACAUAGUGGAACUAGGGAUCAAGCCCUAACAAAUUGACUCGAUUACAUGACAAAUCUCAUCCAACUCCAUCACCGUCUAGCAAACCUAGGAAGGAAUUACUCACUCCUAGUGGUGAGCAUCACGGAAUUGUAGUUGAUGACGACGGUGACGAAUCCUCCUCUUGGGAGUCCUAGACGGACUCCAGAUCAGCUCUCCCGAUGAAGAACAGGAGGUGACAGUGGCUCUGUCUCACAAAACAUGAUGAAACUUUCUCUCUAAUCUUUUUCUCUGUGAGACGAUAUUUAUGGAGUAGGAAUGAGGGCAAACGGAUGCUUGUGGGGCCCACGAGCUCACAAGGCGCGCCCUGGGGAAGUGGGUGGGCGCGCCCCCUGAGCUCAUGGUUCCUGGGUGGCUCCCUCUAGUAGGUCUCUUCGUCAAUACUUUUCACAUUUUUUAGAAAUAAUCUCUGUAAAUUUUCAGCCCAAUCCAUGAGCUUUAAUUUCCGCACAAAAAUAACACCAUGAAAAUUCUGCCGAAAACAAUGUCAAUCCGGGUUAGUUUAAUUCAAAUCAUGGGAAUUUGUGUCUAAAAGCAUAAAAGUGUUUGGAAAAGUAGAUACGUUUGGGAUGUAUCAACUCCCCAAGAUCAUCUCAUUGCUUGUCCUCAAGCAGAUCAGUUGACAAACUGAAAGUGAUACAUAAAAAACUUCUACAAACUCUUUUGUUCUCAUUAUUGUAUAUAUGCUUAAUUAGUCUUCAAGUUCUCAGCAAAGUUUAUGAACUAACCACACGAAUGAUAACACUUAGGUCUCAUUUUUACUCAUGACAAUAACAUAACCAACUAAUGAGCAAUAAUAAGAUAUCUCGUAUGCCAACAAUUUGUCAAAAUAAUUAUGAUAUAGUAUGAUAACACCAUAUCUCGUUAGACCUUUCUGAGACCGCAAAACAUAAAUGCAGAGCACCUCCGAGGUUCAAGCAGUAACUAAACAUUAUAAUUCAGGGUAGAAGAGAUACAAUCAUUGUCACAUCCAACAUUGACCCGACUCAAUGCAUAAGACUGAUAGUAGCACUCUUAGGAUUGGGGCUUUAAAUGAGAAGGUGAAGACUCUACUAUAAAAGUGAAUAACAUGAAAUUAGGUAGAUAGGCCCUUCGCAGAGGGAAGCAGGGAUUUGCAUAGAUAAGAGUCCCAAGCUUAAAACAAAGAUGAAUAUAUUUUGAGAGGUGUGUUUUUCCUGUCAACGUCACGAUAAAGGGUUUUCAAUAUAUUCCAUGCUAAACACAUUUAUUUUGGUGUUGAUCCUGAACCUCGUCAGCGGAUUUUGUGUUACGGGUUUUCUGAAAUGAAAAUCCAAAGUGAGGGGCUCCUUGGUCCAUGAAAAUAUUUGAUCGAACAAAUAUGAUUUUUGUUUUGCAUGCCUUCAAGAUUUAAAGACUUAACUGAUGGCUUGGUAUUCUCUAUUUGGAAAUUAUGAGCAACUUACAUUUCUUUAGUUGUAUAAACAAGUGUGCGAGCUGAGGGUACCUCAGAUGGUUAGGUUUCUUUGUGGUGGAACCAACCCAUCAGAGUUCAAGUUCUAGAAUUGGCACUGAUGUUUGCAUUUCCUGGAUUUAUGUCAGACUUUUCAGUGAUAUUUGUUCAUUGGUUGUGUUAAAAAAAGUCGUAAACACAAGUUCAAUUCCAUCAUUUUCCCGUGUUGCACCAAAGCUGGGCAUAAAUGUUAGCAGUUGAUAGGAUAUAAUUGCUGCAAUUUCUUUUUCUUUUCUUUUGCAAAACAGAAUUUCUCUCUUUUUCUAUCUACCUGGGAUGCACUGCACCUACACAAGAAGCCACACAUACACACCCUAUAGUACAACCUCCAUGCUGGUUUAUUAGUUCUCCUCAUAUUUAGUGUCAUAUUUUGAUUAUGAUUUUAACUAAUAAAAUAUAGGUUAUACACAACACAAAUAAUAUAAUCGGAAACUAUAUUCAAAUACGAAUCCAACAAUAUAAUUUUUGGCGAGAUGCAUUAAUAUUUUAUUAGUUAAAUCUAUGGUCAAAAUUUAGCGCAAAAUACAAAGGGGACCAAUAAACCAGGACAGAGGUAGUAACUAGCUAAAUGUCCACGUGUUGCCAUGGAACAAUGAAAAAUCACAGUUAUCAAUAUAAUUGUUCCAAAGUGGAUAUGAGUUAAUGUUUUCAUUCAUUUUGCAGAAAUAGAUUCUCUCUCUAGCUCAUUUCAUUUUUGGCACCACCCUCUCUUGCAAGAGGACAGAGCAAAUAUAUUUCAAGUCACCCCUCCCCCUCCUUCACUUUCAUUCUCAUUGCCAUGUCUAAAGUCUAAACCAUCUUCUACAAAAAUUGUACUUCUAUAGAUUAUAUUUCUUUACUGAAUCAUAAUAUUCUUUUUGAUCUCAUUUUUUGGCUGUUGUAUAGUUUAAUAAAUAGUAAUUUAAUGUUGGAUUACAACAAUGAUUUUGACCGGCAUAAAGUAAAGAAAAACAAAUAUAGUAACUGAAGAAACAAGAAAACAUUGUUCAUUCGGUCUGGCCUAUUCUCCACGUCAAAUCUUAUUUAACGGCGACAAAGGACUGAAAGACAUAAAAGGAAACAAGUGUGUUUAAGGGAUCAUUGGCCAUUGCAUUUUAUUAGAUUUUACAAUCAUGGUGACAAGUAAUUAGCUUAAACUGAAACAGUAGCAACAAAGCACUAAAGCAAAGUUUAACGAAUGAUAAUCCAAAUGUGUUUUGUCUGUCCUUUGCCAUUGACGUUUUUUGCCUCUAAGUGUAUUUGAAUUAGCAUUGGCAUUUUAUAACAUAUACUAUCUGUAGAGUGCCUCUACUGAAGAACUGAACUUGACAACCGAGACUAUAUAGAAGAUAGAACAUCUCCCAUCGGGCGCGCCUAUAUCUCGCCGUCAAUGAGUCUGGCUUCGGACUCGCCGAAGAGGUGAGCGAGCUGGGCCGGCCCACGAGCGUGGGAGGCCAUAAAGUUUUUUCCUGUUUUCCCCCUUUUUAUUUUCUUUUGUACUUUUGUUUAUACUGUAAAAUAUUCUAAAAAUAUAUAUUACAAAAAAAAACUCUCCAUUUUUUUGUGAAAAAUGUUGAACAAGUAUUUGAAAAAAUGUUGAGCGUGUAUAAAAAACAUGUUGAACAAUUAUUUAAAAAUAUUGAAUAAGUAUUUGAAAAAUGUUGAUCAAUUAUUUGAAAAAAUAUUUAAACAAGUAUUUGAAAAAAUAUUGAUAAUGUAUAUAAAAAUGUUGAACAACUAUUUGACAAAGGCUGAACAAGUAUUUAAAAAAUGUUGAACAACUAUUUGGAAAAAUGUUGAUCAUGUAUAUAAAAAUGUAGAAUGAAAAAAAGAAACAAAAGAAAAACAAAAGGUUGAAAGCCGAAAAAGAAACAAAAUAAACGAAAGAAAAAGGGAAAUAAAAAAACUAAAGAAACAAAUGAAAAACACUGGAGAAGAAAAAAAUACUUGUAUGUAAAACAAUGAAGAAACAAAAGCAAAAUAAUGAAAAAAAGGAGAAGAGUAAAGACAAAAAAGGAAAACAGAAAAAUGGAGAAAACCGACACGUCUUGCUUCAAGUAGGAUGGGUCUUUUAUGUUAUCACGAACCGUUGGGCAGGCGCACUGGCUAGUGGCGCUUCCUAUGUUCGCGGUGACCAGGGAUUGAUGACGGUGUCCUGGUUUAGGGGUACUCACCACGUCGUCUCUCGACCUGGUGGAUCGGGCCGAGGACCCCAUGGCGGUUCACAAUUGGGCCAGUUCGGACAGCCCAUGACAUAUAUGAGGAAGAUUCCACAAGACUUGGUGAUCAAGACAAGGACUCCUCUCCACCGAUGUAUUCGACUAGGACUCUUGUUAUCCUAGGCCUCUGGUACAUUAUAUAAGCCGAGGUUAGGCUAGUCGAUAGAUUAUUAUGACAUUCAUCAUCAUACCAUUAGGUUUUAGACCACAACGUACGAUCUUGAGGUAGAUCAACUCUGUACUUGAUACUCCAUCAAUAUAAACAAGAGCAAAACGUAGGGUUUUACCUCUUAGAGAGGGCCCGACCUGGGUAAAACAUCGUCUCCUUCGUUCCAGUUACCAUUGAUCCAAAAAUCCACAACUCGGGACCCCCUACCCCAAGGUCUGCCGGUUUUGACACCGACAACCGAAAAUGGACUAGCCCAGUAAUGACCACGACCAAGAAAACUUCGAUGCAAGACUUAGACGCAAAGAAAUUCAGAGGUCGGCUGAUUUGGGGGAGACAUCAAGAGGGUCGGAAAUGGGACAAAGGCAUUUUGGUUAGCACAACAAAUCAUUACCUGGCAUAGGCUUAUCCUGCUAGUACUCCGUUGAAGGUACAAACUUUUCCAUUUUCUAUGUCUAAAAACUUAUUCCAUUUUCUACAGAGUUCUACGUUUCCAAAUAAAAAUAAGUGACACUGCAGUACUCUGUUGAAGGGGUACCCUAUGCUAUCACAUCAUGUAUUAUUUAUUCUGAUGUCGAUCCCGGCGGUACAAAAGACAUGCAUGAUUCAUUCAUUGUUGUAGCGCACCUGCAAGUUCCACCCGAAAAUGGUAAAACUGCAUAGCACCCGAAAAUUAUUUGUUUGGUGGUGAUGAGCACGAAAGUGCUUGAGUUCGUGUUUUUCUGGAUAGGGCUUGGUCCACGACAUAACACAUGUUAUGUUGUGAUUUUUUGGACCAAACUUAGUCAAUGGUGGUUUUUGGAUGAACUAUAUGCAUGUUUUAAUUGAAUUGUUUGAUUGAAUGAACUAUAUGUAUGCUUAUGGUUGAUUUUUAUUGUACGUUGAAUUUAAAUCAUGCAAAUGAUUGAUGAAAUACCAUGCAAUUGUCUGGAAUGUAUGUUAAAAAUGAUAGAAGAAUUAGUCAAAAAGAUUUUAGGGAGCUAAAUAUAGGGUUUGGUUAGGUUUGGCCACAAUUUAACUCCUUAAAUCUGAAGGAGUUAAGUUUAGAAAUGCAUAUAAGGAGAUACUCCCUCUGUUACUUUACAUAAGGUGUAUUUUUUUUUUGAUAAAAUUCCACAAUGUAAGGUACAUUUCUUCUAAUUCAUCAAAAAUCCAUUUUUUAGCCCUCUAGAAAAGGAAACUAUCUCUCCCCUGAUUGCAUGUAUCUCUCCUUGUAAAAAAAGGAAAGUAUCUCUCCCGAUUGCAUGUAUCUAUUACUUUUCUAGCCUAAAUGAUUUACUUAUCAGUUACCACUAAUCAAUGAUUUAGCCAAGGUUAAUUUUUUGCUAACUUGUCUAUAGUUAUGUGCCUUGGUCACCGUGUUGAAAUUAUACACCUUACAUAAAUGAAUGGAGGAAGUACAUUAUAAGAGGUUGACUAGAGAUGCUCUUAGUGUUUGUUAAUAAGAUGGCAUAUUGGGUAGUUUCAAAGGAACUCCGAGGGCAGAGGGGUAUGGUGGGUGAAGUGGAGCAUGUGAAGCAAGCAUUUCUGUGCUCCGGUAAAAUGAACUAGAUGCUACUCCAGCUCCAAUCCACUAAGGUAUUGAAGUUGAGGUGUCCCUUUGAAAGGAAGUGGCGUUUUGGCACCCGAGCGCACCUGCUCCCUUUAUCCUGUGCGUUGGAUGUCUUUCCGCGAUCUGUGCCUGGUCAUUUUCUCUGCAAAUACGGUUCUCUUUAAAUUAGGCUGGCAGGUGCAGAUGCGUAUGGUACAGUUGCGUACGGUGGGCCAUAUCUCGCACCGGCGUUAGCAGCCCUGCUGUUGUGAUUCACGUCAUGGAUAGUGUUCCGUCGUACGGGAGCGUCACCAAAAAGAUGAGGCGUGGCACAAGAUUUCUUCUGACGAGUGUUAACUGCCCCUACGAUUUAGUUCACGAUUAAUGCGUAAAUCUAGAACAGAAGAGAACUAUUGGGAGAUUGGAUUAAAUCAGUUAAACAAGGAUAACGCUACCGCUAAUGACGUGGGGAUUACAGACUGAGCUCUCAGCUCCUCGUUCACAGCACCCCACGGCGAAUUUAAGUCUUUUCGUAAAGAAGGAUUGGGGUGGCUAGUGAAGGAUUAGUGCAAACCACGUCCGUAAUCUCCGCCUCCGUAAAUUAAGUCUUUUCGUCAAACAAAUCCCGGCAACUAACAUUGCAAUCGAGAAAAAAUUACCCAAAGCAAACCGCAUAUGCAUAAGUAUAGAGGAAAAUUUCCUUCGCCUAGGUACAAGCUAAGAUUUGUAGCAUACCCGUAAAAUAUUCGGUUUCACUACUGAAAAGCAUGAACAAACAACCAACAACUAAGAGUGUUGAAGUGUUAAAAAGAAGUGUUGAAAGAUUCGAAUGAAAAAUUCAUUACAGAUGAAACAAACUUAUCUAAAUUAUUUGUACUGUACAUAAAUAAUCUGGCAUGAACAAUGGUGGGUGAAAAAAAAAUCAAAACAAAUGAUUUGCGCUGCCUACCACGAUAUGAACAUGCAUGAACGGCCUGGUGAGACACUCGCCUCUUGCGAGGGGCUCGACCUUCCUGGCCGGUCCGUGCAGCCGCCUUGUUGCUCCGACUUGCCGAGUGUCCAUCUGCAAGAUCUCGUCAGUCGCUAAGGACAUGGAGAAUUUCAGUCUGUUAGAAUAUAGAGUUGUAAUCUCAACCUUCUUCCUUCUCGUGUAUUCUACCCAAACUCCUUCUGUCAUAACCUUGUACGUCAAGCCAGGCUUCGGCCACGCAUCAAUAUAAACUACCACGCGGCUCCCUCGAUGGAGUAGGAACGCUUCAUAUCUUUCAUGGUAAUCAGAGCCACCUCUUCUCAUACAUCUAGCCACAAUCCAAAACCCUAGAAACCACACAUCAUCGUCUCCAUGGCUUCCUCCGCCGGCGUCUUCCUCAACCUUGGAUCACCGCCGUCUGAGAAGCUCGCAAGAGGUAAUUUCAUCCUCUGGAAGACGCAGGUCCUCCCAGCCCUGCGAGGCGCUCAGGUGACGGGGCUCCUGGACAACAUCGAUGCCGCUCCACCCAAGAUGGUGGAGAUCACGAAGGCAGACAAGACCACGGCCCUAGAGCCGAAUCCCCUAUACGGACCCUGGAUCGCCAAAGAUCAGCAGGUUCUAUCAUACCUUCUCAAUUCCAUGUCUCCAGAAAUUCUUGCACAAGUUGUUGGGAAAGAUUCCACCUUUGAGCUCUGGACGACGGUGACAAAUCUCUUCGCCUCACAAUCUCAGUCUCGGAUUACUAAUCUGAGAAUCGCCAUCACCAAUACCAAGAAGGGCUCGAUGUCAAGCUCGGUGUAUAUGGCGAAGAUGAAAAGUCUUGGGGAUGAACUAGCUGCUGCAGGUCGUCCCAUAUCUGAUCCGGAGAUGGUGGACUAUAUUCUGGCCGGACUGGACCGCGACUACGACCCCGUGGUGGCGGCGAUCGGCGCUGUCAAAAACAUCAUCACAGCCGACGAUCUUUUUGCCCAGAUUGCUGCCUUUGAUCAAAGGAUGGAGAUGCUAGGCGACUCAUCUUCAGGCGGGUUCUAUUCAUCCGCUAAUGCGGUCUACAGAGGGCGUGGCCAGUCCCGUGGCAGAUCUCGCGGGCGUGGAGGAAGAGGCCGUGGCCGUGGUGAUCGUGGUGACCGCGGUGACCGACAGUCGUCUUCCUCCAAUGGAGGCGGCGGAUUCAGAGGCCGUCCUCGACAGCAACAGCAACAGCAGGCUCGUGAGCAACAGCAUGACUAUCCAGAAUGUCAGAUAUGCUACAGACACCAUCCAGGAGGUGCACGAGUUUGCUGGUGGCGUUAUGAAGAAAACGACCAGGAAGAAAAGCAAGCGCAUGCAGCCUCCUAUGGCGUGGACACCAACUGGUACGCCGACAGUGCAGCAACAAACCACAUCACAGGUGAACUUGACAAGUUGACGAUGCGGGAGAAGUACAAUGGAGGCAACCAAAUUCGCACGACAAGCGGUUCUGGUAUGGAUAUCACACACAUUGGCAGUUCAAUUGUUAAAACCCCCGUGAAAAAUUUACACUUGACCAAUGUCUUGCAUGUUCCUCAAACCUCUAAAAAUCUUGUUUCCGUUCAUCGAUUCACUCUUGAUAACAAUGUUCUUAUUGAGUUCUAUCCUUAUUUUUUCUUGGUUAAGGACUUGAAAACAAGGAGAGUCAUUCUUAGAGGACGGUGCGUGGGAGGACUCUACCCACUCAUAUCAUCAUCAUCAUCAUCAUCUUCAUGGUCCAAUAAACAAGCAAAUAUUGUCACCGAGCUAUCUACAUCAAGGUGGCAUAGUCGUUUAGGUCAUCCAUCUUCAGUCAUAGUUAGAUAUGUUCUUAGCAAAAAUAAACUCUCUUAUGAGCCUAGUAGUGAGUUAGUUUGUGAUCCGUGUCAACAAGCAAAAAGUCAUCAAUUACCUUACCCAAUUUCUACUAGUGUGUCUACUGCCCCUUUACAACUUAUCUUUUCAGAUGUAUGGGGGCCAACUCCUAUUUCAGUUGGUAGAUUUUCCUAUUAUGUAAGUUUUAUUGAUGACUAUAGUAAAUUUACUUGGAUUUAUCUGUUGAAAAAGCGAUCUGAUGUAUUCCAAGUUUUCCUCAAUUUCCAAAAUCUUGUUGAACGCAAACUGAACUCUAAAAUCAUUGCUAUGCAAAGUGACUGGGGUGGUGAGUAUGAAAAACUAAAUUCUUUCUUUCAAAAGCUUGGCAUAUCACACCAUGUAUCUUGUCCUCAUGCUCACCAACAAAAUGGAUCCGCUGAAAGAAAGCACCGUCACAUAGUUGAUAUGGGGCUUGCCUUGUUAGCAAAUGCUUCCAUGCCGCUUAAAUUUUGGGAUGAAGCAUUCUUAACUGCUACAUAUCUCAUCAACUUGCUUCCAAGUAAAGUUAUCAAAUUUGAAACACCCAUUACACGACUUCUUGGUGUCACACCCAACUAUACAUCUCUUCGUAUUUUUGGUUGUGCCUGUUGGCCCAAUCUUAGGCCUUACAACACACGCAAACUCGCUUUCCGCUCAAAACGGUGUGUCUUUUUAGGCUAUAGCCCCAUGCAUAAAGGGGUUAAGUGCCUUGAUGUUCCUACUGGUCGGGUGUAUAUAUCCAGAGAUGUUGUAUUUGUUGAGUCCGUGUUUCCCUUUGCAUCCCUUCAUCCUAAUGCUGGUGCACUUCUCCGCAAAGAAAUUCUUCUUCUUCCUUCACAUCUUCGGUCUUUUGAUCAUGGGGGCGACAACAAUUGUACUAACCAAUGUGAUGAUAUUCCUGCUGGUACUAGUCUUUCUCUUAUGCCUGUGCAGGUCCCUGGAGAAAACGGUGCUCAAAAUGACCAAGAUCUCGAAAAUAUGGCUGGUUUUGAUCCUAUAUUUCAUGCUGAGGAAGGAGACGAAGCUGGCACAGAUGACGAAGAAGAUCUGGCGGCGCCUGCCACCCCUGCACGCGCGCAGAUCUCGGAUCACGCGACCGCAUCCGCCUCGGAUCAAGCCCCUGAUGGCUCCAGUCCUGGAUCCAGGGCGGGCCACUCCCGUGCUGCCGCGUCAGCUUCAGGCGGGACCAGCAGCGGGGCCGAAUCCCCCUCGCCCCGCGCGCCAGCGUCAGACGGGACCAGCGGCGGGACCAGAUCCUCUCCGCAUCACGCGCGCCUCCAGUCGUGGCCGGGUGGCGGAUCCUCUGCGCCAGUGCCUGCAGGAGGGGCAGCCACACCAGAAGCCACAGGAUCCCCUGCGCAUAUGACGACAAAUCAGUCCACUGCAUCAGCAGAUUCUCCUGGAUCUUUUGUGGCAAGUAUACCAGCGGUGCAGCGAGAGGUUUCUUCACGUGUUAUGACCCGGCUACAGAAAGGUAUACGGAAUCCUAAAAUUAGGAAAGAUGGAACUAUACCAUAUGGAAUGUUGUGUAUUUCAGGAGAACCAACAUCGUUGAAGAAUGCACUUGAUGAUCCUAAAUAGAAAAAGGCAAUUGAUGAGGAGUAUUCUGCGCUCAUGAGGAAUAAGACUUGGCAUCUUGUACCAAAUCAGAGAGGUAAAAUUAUUAUUGAUUGCAAAUGGGUGUAUAGAAUUAAGAAGAAGGCAGAUGGCUCCAUUGACAGAUAUAAGGCACGUCUAGUUGCAAAGGGCUUUAAGCAACGUUAUGACAUUGAUUAUGAGGACACCUUUAGUCCCGUUGUGAAAGCUGCAACUAUCAGACUUGUGUUAGCCAUUGCUGUAUCCAGAGGAUGGAGUUUAAGGCAGCUAGAUGUACAGAAUGCGUUUCUGCACGGUGUUCUAGAAGAGGAAGUGUUUAUGAGACAACCACCUGGGUAUGAGAGUAAGAAAUUGCCACAGUAUGUCUGCAAGCUUGAUAAAGCACUCUAUGGUCUAAAACAAGCACCCAGAGCAUGGUAUUCCAGAUUGAGCUCACAGUUAAAAUAUCUUGGCUUUGUUGCUUCCAAGGCUGACACAUCCUUGUUUAUUUAUAACAAGGCAGGAGUAGUCAUUUUUGUGCUAAUAUAUGUUGAUGAUAUCAUAGUUGCAAGUUUUUCACAAAAUGCUACUAAUGCUCUUUUGCAUGAUUUGAGCUCAGAGUUUGCCUUGAAGGACCUAGGUGAUUUGCAUUUCUUCUUGGGUAUUGAAGUCAAGAAAACUCAAGAUGGUAUUGUGUUAAAUCAGGAAAAAUAUAUUCUUGAGCUUCUGUCUCGCAUGGGGAUGAAAAAUUGCAAGCCAAUGUCUACACCUUUAUCCCCCUCAGAAAGUCUCUCAGCAUAUAAGGGUGAGCCACUUCAAGAGGAGGAGAGUACAAGGUAUAGGAGUACUGUGGGAGCACUACAAUAUUUAACUCUCACACGUCCAGAUAUCUCAUUUGCUGUCAACAAGGUUUGUCAAUAUCUUCAUGCACCUACUUCUGCACAUUGGUCAGCUGUCAAGAGGAUUGUGAGAUAUGUGAAACAUACUAUGGGAAUAGGACUUCAUUUCAAACGGUCUAAUUCUUCUCUUGUGAGUGCAUUCUCUGAUGCUGACUGGGCAGGAUGUAGUGAUGACAGAAGAUCAACUGGAGGUUUUGCAGUGUUCUUUGGAUCUAAUCUUAUCUCCUGGAGUGCUAGAAAGCAAGCUACUGUGUCACGCUCAAGUACAGAAGCUGAAUACAAGUCUUUGGCUAAUGCAACUGCUGAGAUCAUUUGGGUUGAAUCACUUCUUGAAGAAUUGGGAAUCAAGAAGAAUCGUAUCUCAUGUUUAUGGUGUGAUAAUUUGGGAGCAACAUAUCUGUCUGCAAAUCCAGUGUUUCAUGCCAGGACAAAGCACAUAGAAAUUGAUUUUCACUUUGUACGAGAAAGGGUUGCGGCAAGGAAACUUGAGAUUCGAUUUAUUUCUUCUAAGGAUCAAGUGGCUGACGGUUUUACAAAAGCACUACCAGCAAGACCAUUUGAAGAAUUCAAGAGUAAUCUUAACUUAGGUUAGUUGAGAUUAAGGGAGGGUGUUAGAAUAUAGAGUUGUAAUCUCAACCUCCUUCCUUCUCUUGUAUUCUACCCAAACUUCUUCUGUCAUAAUCUUGUACGUCAAGCCAGGCUUCUGCCACGCAUCAAUAUAAACUACCACGCGGCUCCCUCGGUGAAGUAGAAACGCUUCAUAUCUUUCACAGUCGUCACCACCACGUUGGAUGUGGUUAGAGUCGAGGAGGACGCCGGAUUACAUGCUCAGGCAACCUAGUUCGUGGGAGAUGCCAGAUCCACGAGCUCCCGCCGCCGGAGUCGAGGUAGACCACGAACGCGAGCACUCCGGUAGCUAGGUUGAGAAAAAAUGACACUCCAUGCAGCAGUUUUCCGCUGCGCUAGCAUGUGCUGGCAUGCUCUCCGCCUCCGACCACCCAGUUUUUCUCACUCGCCGAAACAUCGAGAGGAUGAGAGAGAUUAAGUAACCAGAAGUUGGAAGGAGAGAGACGUCUGGAAGGAACGCAUUUACUAUCCGUGGGACCCUGCUGGCCUGCAUGAGCUCCACAAUCCACAUGCACACAUCUAGUCCAGGACGGCAACAAACGUCUGUUCCCUCGGCUCUUUACACUAUUUUGACCCUUUCAAGAAACUUUCACACAAAAUGAACUCCACACAAAAUUAUUUCACAAUCUGAUCCUUUUAGUAACGCCACUGAUCAUGGCAUUUCAUCUCUAUUUAAAAACGCCGAGCAAGCUAGCGUCGCUGGUCUAAUCGAGACGCUACGUGGCAGGGUAGAAACGCCAAAGUAUGCUGCGUUGCUGGAAACGCCAAGGGAGCCCGACGUUGCCGCCCAAGCAUGAAACGCUAAGGGAUUUGGCGUUUCUACUAGCUUGUCCAUAUUGCCAUUUAUUUAUGAAGUGAAGCAACGCUAGCUAGCUCGGCAUUUCUAAAUAGAGAAGAAACGCCACGGCCUGUGGCGUUACCAAAAGGGUCAGAUCGUGAAAUGGUUUUGCCUGGAGUUUAUUUUAUGCGAAAGUUUUCUGAAAAGAUCAAAAUAGUGAAAAAGGCCUGUUCCCUCGCCCUAAACGGGCUCCUGUUAAUUAUUGCAGGUCAGAUGUGGGCCACAUGCCAGUAGAAGGAAGACCCCCGUCUGAAAAUAGGACCCUAAUACAACAAGCAGCGAGAAUCGCAAGAACAUUGAUCGGCUUAGAUAUCGGGAUUAGAUGUGUUCGGGAGCCAAAUGGGAUUUCCCUGUUUGAAACAACUCUACUAAAAUCUGGAGCAGUCCAAAGCCUACCCUCAAUCCGAUAAGGACCAAGCAGGAGCAUAUCCUAUAUGUGAAGGUCGACCAUGUUACUGGAUUGACGGAUCUAGUUUGUUAAAUUUACUCGAUGACUAGGGCUCCGAGGCACUAGUCCUUAAGGGCACGUGUAUGAAGACUUCUCAGCUAUAAUCGACAAGUUCAGGCCAGCUCCGACAAGCAGCGCGUGAGCGGCUCGUUCUGACGGUAGUGGUUGCUUGAUGGUCCAAGAACGUCUAUGUAAUUAUUAUUAUUAUUGGGAUGCUUUGUACUUUUGGUGAGCUACUUUUAAAAAAGACUCUGAAUUCAAUUAACUGUGAUAGACCUUCAUAAUCGUUUGCCCUUAAUGUUCAAAGUAUGGUUGGUUGAAUGGUGGAAACUUAUGUCUACUCGUAUAUUUGUAGUAGUUAGUCCAAAUAGAUGUUGGUUUAUCAAGGUUCCAUGAAAACAUGAUGCAUACACUGCACUAGGAUCAUUUUAUAUCUUCUAUAGCCAAUUCAUCAUGAGCUAGCACACCAUAAAGACUUGGUAAAAAAGUACAAAUACAAAGACACACAUAUGCGCAAUAUCUAUUAAGCAGUGACAGCGAUCUUCAUGCCUUGCUGGC
Molecule: long non-coding RNA, 59526 nt
Filed under: Triticum aestivum (bread wheat)
Lineage: Eukaryota; Viridiplantae; Streptophyta; Magnoliopsida; Poales; Poaceae
Description: long non-coding RNA (TAES_LNC008040)
Source: RNAcentral